UCUAGUAAGCCAUGGCCCCCACCGCGAUGGCCGCCGCCACCUCCGUCGCUCCAUUCCAGGGGCUCAAGUCCACCGCCAGACUCCCCGUCAGCCGCCGCUCCAGCAGCUCCGGCUUCGGCAACGUCAGCAACGGCGGAAGGAUCAGGUGCAUGCAGGUAACAAUCGAUCGAUCUUUUUUUUAAGACGCGCAAUAGCAUGUUUUUCGUUAAGUAGAGAGAAACAGAGUACAUACAGAGCAUGCACGACCGAAUAAACAGCUCGACAAUCGAUCUGAGUUAAAUGCAACUGAGUAGUAGGAAGUCAGGAACUGAUGCAUGGGUAUUGUUAAUUGCUCAGGUGUGGCCGGCGGAGGGCAACAAGAAGUUCGAGACCCUCUCCUACCUGCCACCUCUCUCCACGGACGAGGUCCUAAAGCAGAUCGACUACCUGAUCCGGAAGAACUGGAUCCCCUGCCUCGAGUUCAGCAAGAUCGGGUUCGUCUAUCGUGAGAACAGCACGUCUCCCUGUUACUACGACGGGCGCUACUGGACCAUGUGGAAGCUGCCCAUGUUCGGCUGCACCGAGGCCACCCAGGUGUACGCUGAGUUCGAGGAGUGCAAGAAGGCCUACCCCGACUGUUACAUCCGUAUCAUCGGCUUCGACAACAUCAAGCAGGUGCAGUGCGUCAUGUUCAUCGCCUACAAGCCCCCAGGCUCCGAGUAAGACCGGCGGCGCCAAAUAAGCUUAUCGCGCGGACCGCUCGCUCGUGAGCGACCGUGGAUGAAGUGUCUACUCGGUUUUGGCAACUUAAUUAUUUGACGCUCUGUUUAAAGUCGCCUGCUUGUUAAUUCCCUUUCUUUUCGUGUUUCCGUCCUGUGUGUAUGUACGAAUGUACAUGUAUCAACGUAGGCUGAGGAGCAUGCAUAUGUGAAUGCUAGCGCCGGCUAAACUUAUACGCAUACACAUCGUAAUAUAUUGUAUACGCAAUUCCUCCACUGCCUCAUCUGUUUCUUGACGUAUAAUUAUAUAUCUAUGUACUAUCGGCUUGUUUGGUUGGAUGUAAUUGGUGGGUGGGAAAAAGAGUUUAGAUGUGAGAGAUUAAAAUUCUAUUGUUUGUUUAGUGGGCCUGGAAGUUUUAAUGGGACGAGAAAUGGAAGUUUAGAGGAUAAGAAAUCUGUAGAGAGGUAACAUCAAGUAAGCGUCAAGUAAGCAUGAUUCGGGUUUGCAAGAACACUACGAACAGCUAUCAACAAUAGAUAACUUACCCUAGAGAGGUAACUUAGAAAAGCAUAAACAUGCCUACAUGGUAGUUUUAUAGCUCUAGAUAACAAGCAAAAUAUGAAUCUCACUUAAAGCAUAUUUAAAACCUCCACGUUCGGCCCUACUAGGCCCAUACAGUUCUACGCAAGACGCUCUAAGAGCAUGAGCACCGAGAGUGCAUUGGGGGAGACAAUCGUCACAUGUCUAACUGCUAUGAUAGAUUAUAUAUCUAACUCUAGUCACUACGAUUGCAAGAGCACUUGGAGCAAUCUACAACAUACAUAGAUUGGAAUAAACAUACACAUAUAACAAUAGAAAAAAAGGAGACAUAUGGAUUGUUAUUGAAUCGGAAAACAGGAAUUACAUUGCUGUGACAAAAAGAUAACCAUGGAGAUCAUACCUAUGAUCUAUUAUUCCUAGCUCUAGAACUCAGUGGUGGACCUUCCUUGCAGAGUGAUCACGCUAGCCAGAGCAUACCUAAGCUAAACUCCAGACGACUUGAACAACCCUUAGCUCCCUCUGGAUGAAUGUUCCUCAAGCCUCUCUUCUUAUGCGAGUGAUGGGGACCAAUUAAGGAGGGGAUAUUCAUAUCCUAAGGAGGCUGUGAUAUAAAUGGUAGGCAAAUGUGAGGAGGGGGAUGCUUGGCUGAUCGGCCAAGAAGGAUCCUGGCCGAUUGGCAAGCUCCCUUUCCUUUGGUAAGUGGUGUUGCUUUUCCCGCCAAGUUAAUCCCUGAUUUUUCAGAAGGACCAUGUCACUUGCAUGUGGGUCGAAACCACCGAAAUCCAUAAUAUAUGAACGGAUCUUCAUGAAUGUUGAUUGCGCCUGGCACUCCUUUGGUAAGUCACGUUGCUUUUCCCACCAAGUCAAUCCCCAAUGGUGGAUCCAGGAGGGGGGCUGCAGCCCCCCCUACUGGAUGCAGGUUCCAUUGGAGUAAGGGAGGAGAAAGUGAGGGGAUAAGACGAAAGGGAAGGGGAAGAGGAAGGAGACUUCAGCACCCCCUCCCCCCGGCUCUUGGAUUGGUCCGCCCUUGUCAACCCCUUAUUUUCUAGCAGAAUCAUGUUACUUGCAUGUGGGUCCUAGCUACCGAAAUCCAUAAUAUAUGAACGGAUCUUCAUGAAUGUUGAUUGCGCCUUCCAAUUCUGAGCUUGCACAUGGCUUGACAAUGACUGCUAAAUCCUCAAGUGCUUUGCCCCCGUUUCUCCGAGAAUGAACAUUCACCAAAUCUAGAUACGGGCGACAUAGUGGACCUCGAUCGACAGCCCACAUUUUUGCCUUCUGGUCUUCGUUCCUUCUAGGCUCGUUGUUGGUUUCUAGACCUUGAAUGUAAAUGCUGCGAGUUCAGCUAUAUUUUCAUAUGAACACACGACAUACUGUAAACAUAACAAUACCUAGAUAUGAUCUGAUUGUCUACUAUGAUCAAUGAUAAUGAUAAUGAUAUUAUUUUAUGCCAAUAAUGUUCAAGGUAAAUAGAGAUGGAAUUGUAUCAAUAAGGAGUGUCAAAAAACACUCCCAUACUGAAACCUUGCUGGUCCUUUGAGCGAGUCCUCCACAAAAAUCAGCAUUGCCCUUCAGUGCCAAUCCUACACACAUAAAAGCUAAAACAUAAUGCUCCAUUAGAUGAUCAAUUGAUGCUCAGGUAGUAGCCAACUUAUAAUUAUAGAGGAUAUACAUUUUUUUUAAUAAGGAACAAGCCACAUAGAAUUUAAUAUAAUGCUCUGAAAUUUAAGAAAACUUCAUAACUUUCAUUUCAGCUACAAGUCCCUUAAGCCUAUGCUAGAACAUUAUCAACAUAUUCCACUCAUGUGAACAAGUGGAAGGCUCAUGUGGAACUUGGUAGGUAAAAAUAAUCUAGCAAAAUAUUAUAUCCAAACUAUUGUCAAACUAGGAUAAACUUCUAAUGGUCAUGAAAAAAUAAUGAUGGGAAAGAGAGGGAUGGAACUCGCACAAUUAGAUGGUGGAUAUAUGUAAAGGCAAAUGGGUCAUCCCAAGACACUAUGUAGUUCUUGUUAUCGCAUUGCACCUGGUUGAAAAAAUGAUCAUGUUUUUGCAAUAACGUUUUGGUCAAGUAAGUCAUUAAGUUUUGGUCAUGGUCCACUGAUGAUGCCAGCAGGGCAUGUGGCACGCUCUAGUGCGGCCACAUGGCACCCAUGUGUUUUUCUAAUUUUCGAAAAUUAUUUAAAAAUCUAAAAAUUGAUUUAAACUUCAAAAAUUCAUAACUAUUUCAUUUUAACUCCAAAAAUUAUGGAACUAGUUUCAUAAUUUUUCUUAAAUCAUGAAGCACAUGGUAGACUAAGUAUUGAUCUUGUUUGGACCUUCUGUAGAUCUGUUUUGGAUUUAGUUCGCUUUUAGACCCCUUUGAUUAUGGUAUAUACAUAUUUAGGAGCCACUGAAGACCCGCAGCUGAACCAGGGGCAGAACUACAAGGAGUACUUCAAGGAGGAGGAAUACUACUUAGGUUCACGCCCAUUCCAUUUUGAAUACCUAUUAAGCAUUGCUCGAUUAGUUUGCUAGUGCUUUAUUUAUCUUUUUUUAACUGGAACAGCAGGGGAGGCCCCUACUGAUUUUUUAUAUUAAAGGAGAUAAAAUAUGUACAAAAGGUGUGGACUACAAGUGAAACUACCUGAAUUCACAUUUCUGAGAAUUCAAGCCUACGCAUCUCUGUGAUAGUCCCAGGAAGGCUAUCAUAUGCGAAUUCUUAACGCAGAUAGUACAAAUCCAUACCAACACAGAAAUAUAAAGUAGCAACAGAGUAAUAAUAUUAUAAAUAACGAGUACAUCUCUUCGGCUCAUACAGGUACAAGUCCAUCAGGAUUGAAUCAUGAAAGGUAAAACAUCUACGCAGUGGAAACAUGAGCUAUAGCGAACACCACCUCCAGAGGCAACUUGAGCGAGGGACCAUCCCUAGUUUUCCUAUUCGUCGUUGUUGAAGUUGUAGUCGGGCUCCGACCCUGAAAAGCCACCAUCUACCCGAGAAGUGGGUAAGGCAUGUCAACUCCCAAUAGCAGCAAGCCAAGAAAAUGGGGGAAUAAUACUAUAUGCAUGGAUAAACCUAUAUAUGGUUGUAGAAGUUUAUGUAGCAACAAUAGCAAUCAAGGAUGCAUCAAAGCAAUACCAUCUUCGAGGUCAACACCUCACAACAAGGAAGUCGUCACAAACCACCAGAUCCUUCACCUAAGAAUCUAGUACACAAACACACUAGGUGAUGUGAGAGCUCCCUUCCCUCACAUCUCAACGUCAAACGCCAGCCUAUCUCAAAAAAGGGGGGAAGGUAGAAGUGUAGUAUAAGUGAUACGAACCCGAAUGAUGAGGACAUCACAUGCUUGGAUACAACCAUAUUGGCAUCUUUUGACUCCGAGGUGAAACGAUUCUUUAUCAUAAUUAUAUGUGACACAUUUGAUGAAUUGAUGCUGCACCAUGAUGUGUAUUCGUUGUCAAUUUCAGAAAUACAUACAUGGAUCAAAAAUAGUGUUAAACACACAUGGAAGGCAUGGAGGACCAAAGAAGUAGAUUGGGGGCCAAGUCCAAGUAUUCCUAACGUCCUCCACCAGGCCACCACGUCACUUUUGGCCCAAGGAAAGAAAGAGAUCCAAUCCAACACGUUUUGGUGCUGGAUUCGGACUACAGUUCUGGCCCAACUUGCAACGACCGCCACGACCUCAUCCGGACUCCGUUUUGGGCGUUCAAGUACUCUUUGGAAUCCUUAUGAAGUCUAUUUUCAUAUGGAUCCGGACUCAUGUCCAUAUCUAGUCUGAGGCGACCGCAAUCAUCGAAAUACUACCGAGAGGUUUUCUGUCCACAGGUGCUGCGUCGCCCUAUUUUGGCCCGAUGGGCCGUGUAUCAAGUUGGGUCCAUUAGGGACGUGUCCUAGGGUUGGAGCACGACCCCAACACCCCCCUGGUCGUCCUCCUAGGUAUUAAUAAGGAUUAGAGCCGCCACGAACAGAUUGGGUUUUGUUUUGUUGAAAGUUUAGCCAUUGCUACUUCCUUGUAGACGCGUGUGUCGACUAGACCAUCUGUUCUACUCGAUUCAGAACCCCAACUUUGUGUUUUCAGAUUUGUUUUCAUCUCCAUAUUUGCAAUUCAGUUGCUUGUUCUACUUGUUCUUGCUUGUUCUUCGAUUGCUUGCAGGACGAGUGCCCUAGUGGCCGGGUGACGCGCUCCACAAGAUCGCGGCAGCCAUUGGAGGUGGUGUAUCGGUUGCUAAGGCGCAGCUUGGAAGGCUGUAGUCGGGCCGUGAACGUCGUCUCCAUCGACCAAUCGAGUUAUCCACGCCUCUCUCAUCGAAAGAUCGGGAAUCAACCCUAGCGGGUUCGUAUCAGUUGGUAUCAGUUGGUACCAAAACAUGUUGGAUUGGAUCUCUUUCUUUCCUUGGGCCAAAAGUGACGUGGUGGCCUGGUGGAGGACGUUAGGAAUACUUAGACUUGGCCCCCAAUCUACUUCUUUGGUCCUCCAUGCCUUCCAUGUGUGUUUAACACUAUUUUUGAUCCAUGUAUGUAUUUCUGAAAUUGACAACGAAUACACAUCAUGGUGCAGCAUCAAUUCAUCAAAUGUGUCACAUAUAAUUAUGAUAAAGAAUCGUUUCACCUCGGAGUCAAAAGAUGCCAAUAUGGUUGUAUCCAAGCAUGUGAUGUCCUCAUCAUUCUCCCCUUCUUGGCUGCAAGUCGUCCUCGACUUGCUCCAAUGGCAUUCUAAGGAAGUUGCUUUGAUGUUGGAGCACGGAGCGAUGACCAUGCUGCAUGGGCACAACGAGUAAUGCUUCCCUUCUUUGGUCUUACCCUGUUGCAUAUGAGAAAAACUAGAAAAGCUUUGCAAGACAUUAUUAGUGUUAGUGCAGCCCUCUAUUUGAUCUUGGUAUUGGUGCCCAAAAGGAUAUUUCAUAUGAGAGCAAAAAUAAACUUUAUGCACCAAAUAUUCUCCUUUGCUGUCGUAUUUGCCAAUUGGAUGAAGCAAACAAUGAUUAAAGCUUGGCAAACUAGAAUCAAAUUUAAGUCUCUCUUUUAGACAACUUAGAUUACACAGAACAUCAAAUUCAAUAUAACCCAAAGUAUUAAAAGAGGAUAGCAAAUUCAGUUCAUCUUGUGCACAACUAAUAGGAUGAAAAAGCUUUGCUUCAGCACAUUUAUAUGUUUCCAAAUGAAAAGUAUCACACUUAUUUGUUACUUGUGGCAUAGGAGUAAAAGAAUCAUCAUCACACAAGUCUUCUUUAUCACAAGGAACAGCAAGUAAUUCAUUUUGUGACAAAGGAAAAUCAACAGUGGGUUCCACUAUUUGUUGCUCGUCAUUAGCAUGCAAGGUGGACAAAUUUUGGACAUUAUGGGUCACAUCAUUAUUGCAAGUAUUCACAGAUAAUAGAAUCUCCUUUUCAGCAUUGAGAGCAAGACAGUACAAUUGAGCAAGAUGCAUGCAUGAUUUGCUAAUUAACAAAGUUCGAAUUUCAGAAUUGAGCCCUCUUAUGAACCUACUCAUCACAUCUUCCAUGCAUUCGUCUAAUCCACCAUACAUGAUACAAAUUUUAAAAUCAUGGAAGUAUUCUUUCACAGUCCUACUACCUUGCCUCAAGUUGUCUAAUUUAGCAAGCAAAUAAUCAGCAUAAUAUUCAGGAAUGAAUGCAUCUCUAAAAAGAAAUUUAAAGUCUUCCCAAGAUUCUAGAAGUUUCUUACGCCUACAAAUGUGUUUCCAUUGUAGCAAGGCAAAUUCAGUCAAAAUAUUAGAGGCAAUAUAAAUCUUUUGUUUCUCGGACAGGUCAUGCUCAUCAAAUUCAUUAUCUACUUUUAUCUCCCAAUCAAUGUAAGCUUUAGGAUCAAACUUACCAUCAUAUAACGGCAAGUGUUGAAUAACACCCUGAAUAUGAGAGUCUAGUUUCAUCAGCUCCAAAAUCUCCGUAUCACCUGUCAUGGUUAGUAGGAAACAAGAAACACAAAAAUAAUAUGUAUCCUCCUGUCAACUACUAUGAUGUGUUGGUUGUAAUUCUCUCAAACUCAACUUGUAAAAACAAGCCCUUACAAGUUCUUACCAAGCCAAACAGGAGGUGACGGCAACCAACAAGUCUGCAACCGUGGAGUGAAGUGUAUCGAUGCCGCAGCAACAAAAGCCUAUCAAGCUGUAGUCGAAUAUGUGGAGCUCUAGGUGGGCUAAAGCAAGGAAAUAUACUAGCACCACGUUAGUCACAAAAGCAAGCUGAAUAAUAGUUCAACGGUGGUACUGUGCUGGUCCUAGCCUAGACCGUGCUAGAGACGCGAGCCUGGACACAAAGGAAGUCACAACACACCACCGGAAAACAAUAGGGAAGCACAACGAACAGCCCCUUUUCUUCCUGUUUUUUUUGUCUUUCUUUUCCUUUUUUUUUCUUCUGUUUUUUUUUCUUCUUUUUUUUUUCCAGGGGAUCCUCAAAUCUGAUUAUAUGAACAAAAGGACUUCACAAGAGUCACACACCACACAAACUUUUUCCGAAAGGAUAGAAAUCAGAUUUGGACUCAAGACAGCAACAGGGCAGCUGUCAAUUCGGACUCCAAACCGAUUCCAACUUGAACUCAGCACCACGUGGGAUUUGAUCUUAAACAAACUCGGAGUAGGACUCAGACUUGAAUAUAAACAUGUAUUCAGAUUCAGCCAACAGAAGGUUUUAUACGGUAGCACACGGCUGUGACUGGAACGUGACAAGAACUCAAAACUCUAAAGGACUAAAACUAAGACCAGCAACUCAACACAACCGAAGCAACCAAAAACUCAACAAGCCCUAACUAAGCAGUGCUAGCAAAGGCUCAAAGGGUUUAUAGGAUUGCGGGUAAACUAAUCUACUAUUUUUUUUUGGCUUUUUCUGGACUAUGGAAAAUUAAAAACAGCAAAGAACUAGAAGUCUCUCACCGAUAAACCUUGCUCUGAUACCAACUGAUACGAACCCGCUAGGGUUGAUUCCCGAUCUUUCGAUGAGAGAGGCGUGGAUAACUCGAUUGGUCGAUGGAGACGACGUUCACGGCCCGACUACAGCCUUCCAAGCUGCGCCUUAGCAACCGAUACACCACCUCCAAUGGCUGCCGCGAUCUUGUGGAGCGCGUCACCCGGCCACUAGGGCACUCGUCCUGCAAGCAAUCGAAGAACAAGCAAGAACAAGUAGAACAAGCAACUGAAUUGCAAAUAUGGAGAUGAAAACAAAUCUGAAAACACAAAGUUGGGGUUCUGAAUCGAGUAGAACAGAUGGUCUAGUCGACACACGCGUCUACAAGGAAGUAGCAAUGGCUAAACUUUCAACAAAACAAAACCCAAUCUGUUCGUGGCGGCUCUAAUCCUUAUUAAUACCUAGGAGGACGACCAGGGAGGUGUUGGGGUCGUGCUCCAACCCUAGGACACGUCCCUAAUGGACCCAACUUGAUACACGGCCCAUCGGGCCAAAAUAGGGCGACGCAGCACCUGUGGACAGAAAACCUCUCGGUAGUAUUUCGAUGAUUGCGGUCGCCUCAGACUAGAUAUGGACAUGAGUCCGGAUCCAUAUGAAAAUAGACUUCAUAAGGAUUCCAAAGAGUACUUGAACGCCCAAAACGGAGUCCGGAUGAGGUCGUGACGGUCGUUGCAAGUUGGGCUAGAACUGUAGUCCGAAUCCAGCACCAAAACGUGUUGGAUUGGAUCUCUUUCUUUCCUUGGGCCAAAAGUGACGUGGUGGCCUGGUGGAGGACGUUAGGAAUACUUGGACUUGGCCCCCAAUCUACUUCUUUGGUCCUCCAUGCCUUCCAUGUGUGUUUAACACUAUUUUUGAUCCAUGUAUGUAUUUCUGAAAUUGACAACGAAUACACAUCAUGGUGCAGCAUCAAUUCAUCAAAUGUGUCACAUAUAAUUAUGAUAAAGAAUCGUUUCACCUCGGAGUCAAAAGAUGCCAAUAUGGUUGUAUCCAAGCAUGUGAUGUCCUCAUCAAUAAGUCUAGUCAGAGUAACAGAUCAGGGGACUAUCCAUCCCAAUGGACACGGACUAUAGCUAUAGGUUAUACACUCUGCAAAGGUUAUACAUCUGUACCUGCACGGAUGGAGCCUGAAUGGGGAUAUGCCGUCUAAACCCCACCUAACGGUCGGAGCCCUAGUAGGUGGCUAGCACUCUCUUGUUCCUCGAGUCUGGUAGUGUCUUCGACUGUAGGGCACGCCAUGACUAGUCGAAGAUCUCGAAGCUGUGAAACCUAAGCACGCCAGGGUGUAGUCUGGUCAGAGUAGGUCAACGUAUCGAAUUCGAAUUCCUUACACUGAUCCUCCAAUCCGCCUACAGGCUGAGUGCUAUCCACCACUAGUCUCGGACCGAACCCCGCCCAUAACGUGAGGGAACGGUAUGUAUGUAAAUGGUCCAAAGAAAUAUGCUUAAACUGACUCGAUCCUUAAGGGACAAGAGCGAGCACUCAACUCCACAAAGUAUUUGCCGAAGCACCAGCAAUGUACAGAUAUGCCACCUGCUCCUCAGUGUCAAAUAAGGUACUUGCCACAAGCACAGGGGGUGGAGAGAGUCCAGAAAGUUCUCCCCUAGCAAGGCACUCCUCAUUACCAACCGCGGCUCGCUCUCGCCAAAACACGUCAAAGGAUCACACGCACCCAAAACACACGCGAGGGUGUACAAGGAAUCCCAUCACCAAAUCCAUGGCAUAUGUCCAUCCAAAACUCAAAAGCAUGUAUAUGGAUAUAAGUAAGGUGGACUAGCUAGAGGUUCGCAGCUAGUCCACAAGUAGGUAACAAGGAAAGCAGGAUAAAUAAUUAUCAAGGCAUGGCUAGAAACAUAGGCUAUGCAAUCAAUCAUCAUCCAAGCAUCAUAAAUAAAGUGUUAGCAACUAAGCAUGCAUAGGUUCUAUAUGAUUGGGAGUGACAUGACACCUUGUCUGUCAUCGUUGAAGUCCUCCUCGGUGUAGUCGGGAUCAUAAGAGUCCUCGAGGUAGUAGCGAAUAUAAAUUAAUUGGCAUUUAAUCUAGGCAAAAACUCCAAGAUUUCUAAGUUAAGAUGAAUUAGUUAUGAAUUUUCAAAGGUAAAAGGAUUUAUUUAAUUAUUUAUUUAAUUUUGGAAAUUCAUAAAUUAGGUGACAUGUGUCAGCUUCUGUUUAAGCCAUGUGGCAGCACGGGAGAGUGCUACGUGUCGGCUGACGUCAGUGUUGACCGGUCAACGAUCAAUGUUGACUUGGUCAACAUUAUCUGGUUAGUGGUCAACUAGGCCCCACUGAUCAGCAGGUGGGCCCCACGGGUCAAUGGCCCCAAGAGUGGGCCCGACCCUUGACAAGUCAGUGCCACGUGGCCCCACGUGGCAGCCACGUGGCCGGCCUAGUCUUACGUGGCAUUGCUGCCCGCACACGUGGCCGUCCAGGCUGUGCCGGGAUCCGGUGUGCCAACCGGAUCCCGUGCGCCAUGCUCGUGUGGCCGAGCGUGGGGCGCGCACCUGAUUGGCUACGGCGGCGGGCGCAGUGUUGCGGCGGCGUGACGCAAGUGGUGAUUGCAGCCAUAAUGGCGCGGCGCGGGCUAGCACGCGGUGGGGCUGCGGGCAGCGUGGUGCGUCAAAGCAGGCGCGGUGGUAGGGUGGGGCGCGGCGCGGGGCUGCAGCCCGGCCAAAGGUGAAGGCUUUCGCUGCGGCAAGGCAGGCGUGAGGUGGCUGCGUGUGUGCGGCGCAGGGGAACCCCCUUCCCAUGACACGCCUGUGGCGGCGCGCGGGGUUCCGGCACCCCGAACUCGUGGCGGCCAUGGUGACGGUGGUGACGGCUGCGGCUCGAAGGCCGAUCAUGCAAGGGAUACGGGCAGCACGAAGGCCGGUCAGGCAGAGCAAGGGCAGGUGGUGGCGCAGCUUACCGAGGGUGGAGAAGAAGAGGGACGCCGGCACUGUGAAGCAUCGCAGAACGGCGGUGGCUUCCUCGAUGAAUGCGGCGGCGACUCCUCCUCCUAGGACGGCGACGAGGUAGCUCCGGUUCCUUCCUGGCGCGGCACGGCAGCUCCCUCCGACGCGCCCCCCUUCCUUCCUCUCCUCCUCCUCCUCUUUUCCCCUCUCCUCUCUCGGAUGGCUGGCGGCGGCAAGGGGGAAACCCUGGGUGGUUCGGGAUGGCGAGGAGAGGCUGCCAGCAGCGUUCCUAGCCUUUUCAUGUGAGCAAGCAGAACCAUUUCAUAUGGAAACAUGCUAUGAUGUGCCCUCUGUUAUGUUUUAGGCAAGCUUUCCUGCUUUUUUUGCCCUCUGUUAGCGUUAUGCAAUAACACUGCUAAACAUUAGGCAAUAUAUAGGUCUGAAUUAGGCACAAGAGCGCACUUCAUUUUGUUUGCUUUGCCUUCAGCCAGCAGUGUUGGUACUAGAUAUAUAGAAGCUAAUUAUUCAUAACUUAUUUUUUCAGCCCUGGUUUUGUUGUGUCACAACUCCCACCUUUAGACAAUAAUACCUUUUAGGUUAGGUAAAAAUAUGGUUAUAAAUUAGCUAAACACAUUAGGCAAUGCCAUUAAGCAUCUCAUUUUCAAGAGGUCAUACAGAACUAGCAGCACUGUUACUAGAUGUAUCAGGUAUAACCUCAGUAAUGGAUUUAAUGCAUCAAAUGCGACCUUUAUAAUUUUUCAUAGGCAUUAACCGCACAUGUAUUCAUCUGUUUUAACUUGCUGGUGGUGACUAGGUCUCAACGGCAAGUGUUCCUUUAUUUCUCUUCCAUUCUUCUUUCAUUUCUCUCGCAUGUGUUUUUUAUGGUUCGGAACUAGUAGAUCAUUUCCCAUGCUUCUUUAUUUCUGCCAUUUAACUGCUCGUGGUUGAUUCUUUCUAUUAUUCAGAACUGGCGAGUAAAUUCCCAACUGUUGUUUCUUUAUGUCGUUCCAUUCCCCAUGGCUGUUUAUUUCUGUUGUUUGACCUGUGUCCUCUGCUAACUCUGCUUGGUUCUUGGCUGUAAGCCACUCGCAGGAUCAGCGCUGGAUGUGGUUCAGGUGCUAACCGAUCUGAAGUUGACCAUCAUGGACAGUGAGUGCUUUUUGCAGCCUUGUUGCUGUCUUUGGAAAGUGUGACAUUUCACAUCCUUUUGCAUAUAAGUAUUUUGUGACUGCUGCAAGAAUAAAAUCUUUGUUGUCCUUAUUUUUUUCUUCACAUUAUCGUAAUUUGCCAACUGCUUUUGUUUUGAUUUGGUUAAAUUUUUGUAAUGAACUUUCCUACAAUCUUGUUCAAAAAGGUGAAAGGGCAUAUGAAUUAUAAAUUAUUGAAUGGUUUAGGUUUUUCUGGAAGUGCAAGCAAAUUUAUGCAUUCUAUUUAGCCAAGGCCAUCAAGGUCAUUUUAUACUAGGUCAAGUAAUAGUAGCAAAUGUCUCAUUGUAAUUUAUUAGGCAAUAAUAUGCUAACAGUAUACUUCACAGGACAAUAAUAAUAUGGUUCUUAAUUAGAAAAUACUACGUCUGCGAAUUAGCUAAUAAUAUUCUACUGAAUUAGGCAAAACAAUAUAUUCGUAAGGCAACAAUAAAUUUCUAAAAUAGCAAAUACUAUGGCCCCCCGAAUUAGGCAAUAUUAUGACAAGAAUUGGGCAUUGAUAUGGUUCUGGAUUAUGCAAAACAAUAUAUUUCAUUAGGCAAUUUUUCAUUGAGCAUUUUUCACAAUCCCUUAUAAUUAUUGUUUUCAAUAGUAGCUCAAAGACAACUACUACUACCGUGUACUAGAUAUAUAAGCUAGUUCUUUAGCCUGAUCUAACCUAUUUUUAAGUCUACUACAUAUUUUCUGAUUAUUACUUUCUUGGCGCAAUCCUGAAAUAAAAACCACAGGCAAAAAAUAUUGCUAGGUUGUUAAAUGCUAGUAGGUUGUGCAAUUCUAAGAUGUGAGUUCAUAUUUUGUACAUAUUUCCUGAUACAUUUUCCUUUGUUUUUCUUGACUUACUAGUAGAACUGUAGGCUAUAAGAUCAUUUUAUCAUUUUUUAAUCAUGUGUUAUGAUAAUUAUCUUACUAUUUUAAAAGAGUCAUGUGGCACUAGUCAACAUACAUAGCUCUGAACUAGGAAAAGAAUAUGUAAUGCAUUUCUUUAGACAAUAAUAUGAUAAUGGGCAUGCAAAAUGACAUGAUUUUAUAAAUCUGCAACCUUACAGUCUUUUAACAUUCUGAGCUGAAAAGAAACUAGAUACAGUGCUGAUAUUGGUACAACUGUUCUGAUCAUGCAAUUCUAAUCACAUUACUAAUUCAUGUAUGAAAAGUAAAAGCAGUUAAUGUGAGCUACUGUAUGUUUGACUAGUAGGAGAGUUUUGCAACUACAAUUAAUUUCCUAACGCUGCAAUGUAGACUAGAGUAGUACACUAAUACUUUCAUACAGUGAUUAUAACUUUUCUUAUAAACUUAUUUUAGUUUAUAAUUUUUAUUCUAGUUUUGGCAAAUUUAUAUUCCGAUUAUGUGCCCUCUUUUAUUUUAUAUACUGAUCAAUUUUUUUCUUGUUUGCUGAUUUGUGCUUGGUGUCAUAGCAGAUUCGCACGAACUUGAUGAUGGAGCUAAUCCAUGUUUUCAUUUUGGUGCCACGGGAUUAGGCCUGAAGACUUGAUUUUGUGAAUGUUUUGGAAAUGGAUGGGUGAAAAUGCCUUUGUAUAUGUUCUAAUUUACCUUUAGAUACGUUCUAAUUUACCUUUGUAUAUGUUAUAAUUUGCUUGCAUUGGUGAUCUGGCACGCUGUACCUAUGCCUUUUUUUUUUGUACUGGGCAAUUUUCCCAAUGUUCUGCGGUUCUUGGGUGGUUCAAUUUGUUCUCUAGUGCAGAAGCAGACAUAUCAGGAGUCAAACCUUGCCUGCACAGGCAGAAGACAAAAAUGGAAAGCGACUUGCUUUUCCUAAUCAUUACUGUCAAAAAUGGUGCGGCCGCGAUCGACCUGAAAUACGGCCGGCCGUAAAUUAGCAGCAUCCUAAAAAAUAACGGGAAGCUCAGGUGCGAGCGACCGCUGAUUUGGUUAGAGGCUCAAGUAGAACCUCCUCACAUCUCGGAUUCGACUUCUUACGGAAGCGAAAAAAAUCCUCUCACCUGCCACCAUACCAAAGCAUAAGAAGGUUUGAUCUAAUUCUCACAUGGAUCCACUUAGUAAGGGUGAGGUAGGAGUUCAGGAGUUUUCUAGGCUUACGUGAGAAGAUCUUCUUCUUAAGCAAAUGCCGGGGGCGUCAUACCCUCACAGGUCUAGUUUUUUAAUAGGAAGCUUAGUAACACAUGGACCCACUGUGUAAGGGUGAGAUAGGAGUUCAGGAGUUUUCUAGGCUUACGUGAGAAGAUCUUCUUCUUAAGCAAAUGCCGGGGGCGUCAUACCCCCACAGGUCUAGUUUUUUAAUAGGAAGCUUAGAUAUUACUAGUAGGAAUUUUCAUUCUUUUUGGACUCCCACACAAAGUCCCCCCUCCAUGAGUACCAACCAUGUUUUAAUGCUACCAGAUUCUACAUGUUUAAGACUGAACAAAGCACAAUAGAAAUGAUAGAACUAAUGUUCAGAGGCUUAGAUCAGUUACAGUUUUAGACUUCAGAGCAAUAGAUGCAUUAACUUUAUAGGGUCAGCAACCAACAAUCAGAUGAAAAAAAGAUUUGCAGUGUUGUGGACAACAUCCAGCAGUGUUCAGUAAGCAUAUGGUGAUUCUUGUUGUAAACUGAAUGUCUGAAGCCAAGUUAAUUUUGCCUCAAUGAAAAGCCUUACCGAGUUUGACAGUGGUUCUGUCGGAACAAAUUCUAGAAGUAAUCAAUUAGUUACCAAUCUGGUAAUGCAUGCACAGCUAUAAGUAUUCCUUUCAAUUAUCAAGUCCAACCAUGAACACAAGCAGAUAUAUUGAUUCUUGCUGAACCAUGUUUUUCAGCAGCAAGUUCUGCGUAGAGAAGAAAUUGAAGGCACCAUGAGCCAAGGAACGCUGCUAAUUUUUUUCUGAAUCUACAGGAAUUAACAGGGAGCGCAAGGUUCCUUGUACAGUGAUAGCAUGCGCCCAUACAGCUGAGCAAAAUCGAUGAAUCGAAGCAGAUAAACAAGACGAGAACCCGUAAACGCAAUGGGCACCUGCAUGAACUAGCAUUGAAAUUGCAAGUAGAUUUGCAAACCUGCAGAGAGAUCGAGGCGAACUCAGAAUCGUCGACCGCGUGGAGAAGAGCCCUCACCAGCCGCAGGUGGACCUCACCAUCUUCGAUCUGCGUGGGGAGGAUGCCAACCCACGAGCAGACCUCAUCACGGUCGAUCUGGGAUGGAUGCAUCGCCGACUGCAGAGAAAUUUGGAUUUUUCCCGUCCCAAGCGAUGUGCUUCGCAAAAUUACCAUAGUAAAUAUGGGUUUCGCAAAAUCACCAUCUAAAUCGUUCACAACUCGUUUUCCUUACCAUUUUCUCCCUUUUAUUCAUUUUUAAUUUACUUUUCCAUUUGCAAGCAUGGAAAUGGACCAAUUUGCACAUAUGCAUAACUUGUGGGGAUUGGAUCAAUCCCCUAAGAAUCACAUACUUCUCUGCACCCGUCGCCCUUGCCCGUCCUCCUAGCCAAUUGUCUUCUAUGUUAGAAACAAUGAACCCACAAACUAGAAUACAUCCAAUUGUGACCAUUAACUGUUGUAGCCGAGGCUAAAUGACCAUUCCAUCUUUCAUUCAGGGCAGUAGAAUCUAUACCCAGAUAUGGCCACAUCCUUCCAAAUAACCAUAGAUGCAUGAUUUAAGUGCACAGAAAAAUGAUAAAAAUACACAUUGCCAUCUAUUUCCAGAACUUCAAUCUCCACAACACUUCCAAGUGAAAACCAUCUGUAUAGCAUCUCAAACUCUCUUCCCAUUUACCAUAAAUCUCGGCGAGAGCUUUUUCUCUCUCCCUUCCAGACUGUGUCAUAUGAAAUUGUUAAUAUUCAUCCUGCAACUUUUUCUACAAUUCUUUAGCUCCCAUGUUGGGUGAAUUCCUAACGAUACUCACAGCCUUGCUAGCUCCCAUGUUGGGUGAAUUCCUAACUCCCAUGCGUGGUGCCGGAACUGACGGGAUUUGAUUUUGAUUCAAUCGAUCAAACCAGAUGAGGCAAGGGUAGAUUCGUCAGUUUAGGUGCCCAGAAAAUAUAAAAUGAAAAAGAAAUCACUAAAAUGAGGAAAAUGGUAAGGAAAACGAGUUGUCAGUGAUUUAGAUGGUGAUUUUGCGAAGCCCAUGUUUACGAUAGUAAUUUUGCGAAGCCCAUUGUUUGGGAUGGUUAAAGUCCAAAUUUCUCCCGACUGCAGGCAGACCUCGUCAUCAUCGAUCUGCUUGGGGAAGAGGCAUCGCCGACUACAGAUGGGCCAUGGUGUCGUUGAUCCGCAUGAGAGGAGGCCAUGGGAGGACCUCUUCCUCAUCGAUCUGCACGGGGACAAACUGCUGGAGGGUCUCGCCGAUGCGUGCGUCGUCGAGAAUGGGACACCACCGUCCAUGGAGGCCUCGGCCGUCGGGUUGCUGCUUCCCCGCGUCGUGGGAAGUGCCUCGCCGUGCUGAGCGAUGCCUCCCCCUCCCCCCCUGAUGGGCCAUGGUGGGGUUUCUAGUGGAGGACGGGAGAGUACGGAUGGAAAAACUGCGAACUAGCCCCACUAGGACGCUCGUCCUUGUUGCGGGGGGAGGCGAUGAGGGUGGCGUUGGAUCUGAGGAGGAGAUGGGGAGAGAGGUGAAUUGGAUGGGAGGUGCUAGGAGAUUUGCACAGAUGGCAACGCCACUGCCAAAGAGAUUGCCUCCAUGGGUGGCCGAUGAAGGGGAAGUGCGAGGGGCACAUGCUGGUGGUGGCGGGGUGAGGCGAGGUGAGCGGCGAUAGAUUUGAGGAGGAAACAGGGAGGAAGAGAGAGGUGAAUGGGAAGGGAGGAGGCGGCCAAUCUGAGGAGGUGAAUGAGAUAAAGAGCUAGGGUUUCUAAUGGCUGGCUCUUUUAUCCAUUUUAGUAUCGAUAUGAAUCGUUGGCUCAGAGAUGGACGGUCAGGAUGAGUCGGGUCUUAGCAGAAAACGGCCCAUGGAUUUUUUGGCUCAUUUAACCAAAUCAUUAACUAUUUUUAUUGCUUAUUUAGGCUCAAAAUUGAACUACAUGGACCCCUUAUAAGAUUAAAAAAAUAUGAGAAAAUUUAUAUUUAGGCUCAUAUGUACCAUUGUAGGCCAUGUCCUAAAGAUAGAUGAAGAAUUCAAUUAUUUGUUUGGGAUAAUAACACCAUUAAUCUCCAAAUUACCAUAGGGUAAUUGUAAUAAUAUCUAAAUUUGUUCAAAAUAUUCUAAAUUUUUUGUCGGAUUUAUAAGCCCGGUAGUCCACCAGAGGGUUACCCAAGUGGUUGAUUUGUAGGUGGAGGCGAUUGUGAAACUAAGAACUCGAAGGUGAUCGCGAGAACACAAGAGACAUGAGGGUUUUAGAUAGGUUCAGGCCUCUAGAGAGUAAUACCUACGUCCUGUAUUCUGGUUGUUUGUAUUGCUCGAGAAUUGAUGUGGGAUUUGUUGGGUCGCCCUUAGGAGGCUCCCUUGACCGCCUUAUAUAGGCUGACUGUAACGACCUCGAUUAAAAUCCUUCGCGUUAAUCUUAAUCCGAGUCCCUGAUCACCUGCCUCAGUUUACCAAGCCUAAGUGCUCAACCUCCAGAUCUCCCGACCCCCUGCGAUCCGACCCCUCGCCGUGUUUCCUCCAGUUCCGACCCCACCGAUCCCCAACCCACCGCCGGAUCUUUCGAAGUCUUCCCACAACGCCUCCCUUCAAUCUGAGCCGUGGACCACCGAAGCUGACCGGUGGACCCACGAGAUCUUUCUCCCAGAUCUCCCGCGACAGGCACACUCGAGUUGCAUGCCCGCUUUAGAGUUCCCUAGCCGCGUGGCUCAACUCCUCCGACGCCCGCCGCUCCGCCUCGUCGCCGGCCACGACCGGAUGGAUUCUCGCGCCCCCUUUCCCAAUUGCGGCGGAAGCUCCUCUGCCACCCUUUCUGCAGCACCUCGCCGCCCGCGCCCAUCAUCACAUCGCCAGAUCCCAGCUGCAGAGCCUGAUGCCGCCCGUCUUUUCCGUCACCCCUCCACAGUCGCGCCGCCCCGGUCCUCGCUACGUGACGAUUCCUCCUCCGCCAACCCAGACCGCGGCAGCGACAACUCCUUUUCCGCCUUGUCAGAAGCUCCGCCCCGACAAUCUGUUGCUCUGCGCUCGCCCACGCGACCGCAGCCGCCUGUCUUCUCACCUGUGCGCCCUCGUUUCUAGCGCCGUUUCCCCGAUCACUUCCAUUAGAUCCACCGCACGACGACGCCCACCUCCGCCAAAUCUCAACCAUCGGCAAACCCGCGCUUGCGCCGCCCUGACAUCGGUGCCCAAUGACCGCCGGUGUCGUCCCCGAAGUCCUGCUCCACCGCCCUCGUCGCUCAAUCGUCGCCCCGGUAGAGCACUCCAUCGCUCUUCCCCGGCCUUCGCGCCGCUCCCCCUUCCCUCUUCCGCGCAGCUAUAAAAUGGAAUGCUGGAGCCCCGUCGGAGUUCCCCUUGCCAUCGCUGCCCUCCCGCUUGCUCCCUGUUCGUGCUCACAGCGCCACCGCCUAAGUCUGAGGAACCCUCCUCUCCACUCAAACACCACCUUCCCCCAAUCCACCAGCCACUGUUUCCCGUGCUGCACAAGAGCUUGCUUGUGAUCCACCAGAAGCACCGCCGCCACCGGAGUACCACCGGACAUCCUCACCGCUAUCCCACGCCUUAGUCUUUCCGCCCAAGCCUCAUCUGUAAGAUGAAGGUAAGCUACCGACCCCUGUUCGCCUCGUCCGACCCCUCCUAUCCGCCCGACCCUGGUUCCGUCUCGCCCGACCCUGUCUGUUCCGCCGACCUUUCUCUGCCUUGCCCGAGGGCUCGUCUGUAUCUUUUUCCUUGAACCGAGGGUGUAUGUAUAAAACUUGGGGACUUUUCAGCGUUACGUCUGAGGACCCCUAGCACAUCUAUUCCUCUAGAUUAAGGGUCAGAUCAUAAGUUCCUCCCCAUCCGACCCUUAUAUCUUGAUCUCCACCAACUCAAUCGAACCUCCCCACCCUCCUGUAACUUGUCGCAAGUUUCUGGGCUCAAACUUGCAAGUGUUGCUGUUGAAAAUAACCGUCUAAAUGCUAACCAAUGCAUUGCAUUCGUGUAGAGCUGCGUCUCGCCGACGGCUUCUACGAGCUGCACCCGGCACCAGAAGACGAAGGUGUAGCCGAGCUCCUGCCUCCAGAAGCCAAAGCCGCCCAAGCAGACGAGCAGCUUCCCUCCUCCUUGCUCGAAGGCAAGCCCCGGAUGCAUGAAUCCCCUAUGUUUUACCAAACUUGCGCAUGCCUUAUUUAACAUGCUUGUGCAUUUACAUAUAGGAGUUGUUUGGAACCAUAGAGGCAUGACUUAGAUCCCUUGAUCUGAUCACUAGUUGUUGGACCGAGUAAAUGCUUUGCUUAAUUAGGAAACGGUAAAAGCCGAGUGAUUUCCUGUCACUCGCGAGCUGUAGGAGUUGGUUGUUUCCCUUCUGUUACAACUAUAAGGAUGAUGGACGGGGCAGGGUUUUGGGUAACUCUUUGGUGGUCGGUUGAUCACCUCGUCUGUCUAUGAAACUUGCUAAGGCCCGACAGUGGUGGUGUUCGUGAUCAAGUGUUUGAAAGUACUAAUCUCAUACCUAGUAUGGGAUGAGGAAGCCUAGUACCUGAUUGAACUAGGGCGUGGCUUAUACCCCUGCUGUCCCUGGAACGAGGUUCCCAUGGUGCACCAUGUGGGUGCAAGUGCGGUCACAAUACGGUAGAGACCGGGACUGUGGAGCAUUGCAUGCCAAGGGAAGUUUGGACCUGACACGCGCCUGGGAAUUGAUGGGGACGGCCGACACAGGAAGCGACCCUUGUGGUGCGCGGAUGUCGUGAGAUUAGGUUCUCCAUGCAUGGUUAAGAAACUCGAAUCGAUUCGUCUGCCUCUCACAGUUUGAGACUGCUCGAUCGCUAUGUCACCUUGAGUAAUAAAGGAAUCUGAUGAUGAUGAUGUAUAUACCUUGGUUGGUUCUAUGUCUGUUUAGAAGUAGGUUGCAAACUUAGACCGGAUAAUGAACUUAGAACCUGAGCUAAAACUUGAAAGUAGGGAUACACCUAGCGCUUUUGGCAAACAAACCCCUCAGAGAAAAAGGCCUUGCAUGUCUAGAAGUGGUGGAGUAGUGUACUCCCUGUCGGUUAAGUCUUGUUGAGCUUAGUAGCUCAGCCUUGUUGUGGCUCCUCUUUUUCAGGUGAAGUUGCUGCCUCUGAGCCUCCCUCUGCUGGCACUUGGCCGCCCCAACUCCCUCCGGGUUGGACGGUUGAGUGGGAUCCCUCCUCGGACGGCGAGGAGAGGGAUCAUUGAUGUCCCGGUUGGCCUCACCAGGGAUAUCCGACCCCGACGAAGGAGCUUCCACGCGUUGUUUUACCUUCUGUUGUUUUCUUCGGAACCUUGUAAACUCUGAUAUUGUUUUAUGGCCAAACUAAACGGUUAAUUUGUUAACUCAGUGGACUUGUUGUAUUCUCUAGAACCGCUCACCUUCGUGUGGGUUUGCUAUUCAGCCCUGGUCAAGUGGUUAAAUCGGAUGAAAUCCGAUGGCACUUCGUGUUUACUUGGUUAAGGCAUGAGCGUCGCAUAUCAGGCGGCUUAAUCAUGACUAAUCAAGCAAAUCCAAAGUGGAUCCGCCACAGCUAGUAUUAGAGCCGGUUUAGCAAGAUAGAGAACACAAUAGGCCCUAAUCACUUCUUUAAAAGAUAAAAGUUGCAAGCAAUUCUUUGAAAAAUCUCGUACGAUCGUUAAGGAUGACUUUAGUACGAGAGUCCCUAGGGGAUUUUGUGGUUGGUUUUAGGUGGCUAAUAUCUAAUUGGUUAUCUUGCUAACCCCUCCAGCACUUCGCCACGUUUAUCAUACGUGUGCCGAGUUCCGCAUCACGAGUAUGCGAGGGUUGAUAGGGAGUUCUAUUUGAAGGACCCUAUCAUCGCGGUUGUUUCGCCCACGUUUAUCAUACGUGCGCAGGUUCCGUAUGUUAAUUCAUACGAAGGUUGGUAUGGUUCGAUUCCAACGAACCUAUCAUCACGGUUGUUUGCCACGUCUAUUAUACGUGCGCUGAUUCCGCAUCACGAGUAUACGAGGGGUUAUACGGUUCCAUUCCAAGGGGACCUAUUUCCACAGUUGAGUGAUGUCCAUGCAGCCUUGAACGCAUGGGUGCCGUUCCUAUAGUGAACGGUAAUGUUUGAGAACGCUUUCGUGGGUGCUGGCACGAAAGGUUCAUGUGGUUGUGUUUUCUGCAGGUGCACUAACCGCGAUCGCUUAGGAAACGUGAUAGAACCGACUAGUUAUUAUAGGGAGAGACGUACUGGUUGCCUUGCCACCGGUACUAACCGCGUAAGACCAAGUUUUGGCAGUUGUUUUGGUUAAGAACGAGGUAGGCCGUGCAUGCGACAUAAGCUAAGAAUCUGUAAAGUUACCCGCCUCAAAAGCAACCUUGCUCGGAAAAGCUCUUCUUCGGUUCUAAGGAUUUCUAGUUUCUUCCAGCUUGUUCUUGGUUAAAAUCCGGAUGCUUUUUCUGUUCGACCCCUGGCCUUUAGAGUUCAUCUCACGUUGUUUUGGUUCUUGGUUCCAGAUGGCCGCCCCCGGACAUGUCCUGUAUGGCGCAGAUGGCACCUCCCAUUCGACGUGUCUGCACUUCGAGGGUUUUCCCGCUAUCUUGUGCACCUUGAAGUGGUUCGGGUACCAGUCUCCACCUUUGUAUGCGGGACAGUUGUACCUGGAGCGAGGCGUCCAAAGAUGCAACGUGCAGGCAGUAGUACCUCCCCCUCCUGCACGGCCUGACUGGCCCCAGUUUGGAAUCUCAGCAUACGGCCACACACAGGAAGACACCUGGGAGUCAGCUGCUCUACAGCUCCUCACUCAAUUCUGUCAGCUACACCCGCUGGAGGUCACCCUAGACCCCAUCGGCCUGUUCUCUGCCAGGAACUGGUUGGACCCGGUGUGGCUUGACUGCGUCAGCAACAUCGAGGUGCUUGCCACCUCCUACUCAAUGGUCACUAUCUCCACCAAUAUCCGGUGCAUGUCAGCCCUAUAUCGGCUGAUUGAGCUCCAAGGACGGGCCAUGGCUAUCCUUGCUCGGAUCGCCGCGGAUACCCAAGGACACCUCCAGGCCGCCAGAAGAGACAUGGUGGGCCAAACAUAUCAGCUCAUCCAACGAGGCAUUCAAAUCCACGACAUGCAGGACCGAAUCUCUGAGCUUGAGGGAGAAGUAGCCGACUUGGUGGACGGCAUGAUCGAGCUGUCAGAGGAAAAGAUGGAAGUAGAAAUGGAGCUGGCAGUUGCUAAUGCUCAUCUGGACGAGCAUCAUGCCGAGCUCGAUGACAUGCAUGCCCUCCAGAUGCAGCUGGAAGCUCAGGAAGACCCUGAGGAGGUUGAGGAAGCGUCCAGCAUGGACAUUGAAGAGGACGACGCCCCUUCUCCAACUCACAGUGUUCCCUCGUAUGGAGAGUUGUAGGGAACCCAUUCUUUUGUUGUACUCCUCGGCAGCCUAAAAUUUGGAUAGUCCUGUAAUAGGUUAGCCUUGAGUUGAGUACUCCUUGUGUUUCAGAACACCUUUGUAAAAAGAUCCCAGUGAAAUCAGAUCCUGAGUUUGACCUUUGACUCUUUGCAGAACGUUGGAAUGCUAGACCAUGUGAGUUGUGCUGUGACCACACACGCCGUUUUCUGUGGGUCUAUCCAAGUUUGGCCGACCCCGGGUCACGAGAUCGGAUGCGCCCGACCCCUCGAGGCAGUUCUCCGCCUCGUCCGACCCCUUUUUGUGGUUCGUUUUGGCCGGUCCCAUUUUCUUGAGUUGUUCGCCUAGCCCGACCCCUUGGUCUAAGGUCAGACAUAAUGGGACCCCUGGAAUCUGGUUAGGGUUCGCCCAAAGUCAUGUGCAGAGCUGAAAUGGCUGCUAACUAAAUGGCAAGAAGAAGUGUGUGUCUCCUUUAUAAAGCUGUGUUGGGUUGCCUUGUGGCCCGAGUCGUAUUGAGGAGUUAGCAUGUGCGUUCCCAUCUGUUGGAAUACUUCUAAGGUUAUGAAUUUAAUGGAACAUUAACUCUUGCAGAUGGCGCAUCGCACCAGAUCUGGUUCUGUGCCCAGCAGUAGCGAGCAAAGACAGGAUCUUCCCCUACCCCCACCCCCGUCUCCACUACAGGCAAUCUUAGCGGCUCAAACCGAGCUGCUGAGACAUCUGGUACAAGGGCAACAAUAGUAGCAGCCCCAUGGUGGAAGGGCUCAGCAGCAACCUCAUGUUGCUCGUUAUAAAGACUUCUUGGGGACGCAGCCCCCACUGUUCCAGAAGACCCAAGACCCGCUCGAUGCAGACGCCUGGGUUCGCACCAUCGAAUCCAAGUUCGAGCUUCUCACCGCUCAGUGCCCCGACCACAAUAACGCUCGGUUUGCAGCUCAGCAGCUACGUGGUUCCACCCGGCUAUGGUGGGAUCACUACCACGCCAUGUUGCUAGCCGACCAUAUCGUCAGCUGGAACGAGUUCAAGACAGCGUUCAGAGCACACCACAUUCUGGACGGUCUCCUGGAGCGCAAGCUCAAUGAAUUCCUGGCUCUUACCCAGGGAAACCGAGAUGUGUUACACUACGCUCAAGCCUUCAACGAUCUGUGUCGUUAUGCCGGAUAUCACGCGGACACCGACGAGAAGAAGCGGGACAGAUUCCGCAGAGGGUUGAGCUUGGAGCUCAGAGAAAGGUUAAACCCGAUAAGGGUGGAUACGUACAAUGAGUUGGUUAACCUGGCCAUCUCACAAGAGGACUGCAUGAAGGCUCAGGCAGCCGAGAGGAAGAGGAAAGCCCCACUGCCAACGCCCAACCCACCUGCGCAGCGUUUCAGAAUGGUUCCACCCUAGGCGCCCAACCGACCCCAGCAGUCGGGAAGGUGGAUUGCCCGACCCCCGCCAGCAGCAGCGCCCCGUUUUCCUGGUUUCCAACCACAGGCGCCCCGGCCAACCCUGCCACCGCCCGCACGCCCUGCAACGGGUAACCGCUGUUUUGCCUGCGGCGAUGUGGGGCAUUUCGCCAAGGACUGUCCCAGAAAUCAGAGCCCGCACCGCAGGCAAAGCAAUGCAACGCUCAACAAAGGGAAAAGGCCCAAGGUGCAAGUUCGCCAGGGUCGACUGAACUUCACCCACGCAGCAGAGCUUCCUGAAGGUGCGCCGAUAAUGACGUGUACCUUUCUGAUUCACAGUUUUUCAGCUUUGGUUUUGUUUGACUCAGGAGCUUCCCAUAGUUUUAUCGGGAGAAAGACCCGUGACAAGUGUGGGUUACAAGAAUGCCAAACCAGAGGGUCUUUUAGAAUAUCCACCCCGGGUGGAAUAAUCACAUCUGAUAGGAUGAGUGUCAAAUGCACCUAUUCAGCUGGGCCAAAACCUUUUUAAGGAAAAUCUUAUCAUCCUUGACCUGGAAGGAAUAGAUAUCAUCCUUGGAAUGGAUUGGAUGACCAGACACCAAGUGGUUCUAGACCCAGCUGCCCGAACCCUCCACAUCAACUCGCCCUUUCAUGGCAGUUCUACCCUGUUCUUGAAACAUCCUAAGUCCGCACUUCCCUGUGCGUACCCUCUAUCGCAAGCCCGGCUAGAAAGCCUCCCUGUUGUCUCUGAGUACCCGGAUGUGUUCCCAGAGGACUUGCCCGGCAUGCCACCCGAUAGAGAUGUGGAGUUUGCCAUAGAGUUGAUCCCCGGCACCGCCCCUAUCUCCAAAAGACCCUAUCGGAUGCCACCAGCUGAGCUGGCCGAGUUGAAGACCCAGUUGCAUGAUGUGUUGGAAAAAGGUUUCAUCCAACCCAGUGCAUCACCCUGGGGUUGCCCGGCCCUGUCUGUGAAGAAGAAGGAUGGCAGUCUACGCAUGUGUGUAGACUACCGACCUCUCAAUGCGGUGACUAUCAAAAACAAGUACCCACUCCCCCGCAUUGAUAUCUUGUUCGAUCAGUUAGCUGGAGCUAGAGUGUUCUCCAAGAUCGAUCUUCGUUCAGGUUAUCAUCAAAAAUCAAGAUCCGACCAUGUGACAUCCCUAAGACUGCCUUCUCCACAAGAUAUGGACUCUACGAGUACCUGGUCAUGUCUUUUGGACUCACCAAUGCACCCGCAUACUUCAUGUACCUCAUGAACUCGGUGUUCAUGCCCGAGUUGGACAAGUUUGUAGUGGUGUUCAUUGAUGAUAUCCUGGUGUACUCGAAGAGCGAAGAAGAACAUGCCAACCAUCUUCACGUAGUUCUCCAACGGCUGAGAGAUCAUCAGGUCUAUGCCAAGUUCUCCAAGUUUGAAUUAUGGUUAGAUAGUGUCAAGUUUUUGGGACACACUAUCUCUAAGGAUGGCAUAGCCGUCGACCCCAGCAAGGUACAGGAAGUCAUGGACUGGAAGCCUCCUGCCUCAGUGCACCAGAUCCGAAGUUUCCUUGGACUGGCAGGCUACUAUCGGCGUUUCAUGCCGGACUUCUCCAAGAUAGCUAAGCCGAUGACAGAGUUGCUGAAGAAAGAGGUCAGAUUUGUGUGGAACGACAAAUGUGAAGAAGCCUUCAAAACCUUAAAGCGCUAGCUGACCACAGCCCCAGUUUUGGCUCAACCCGACCCCUCUAGGUCGUUUGACGUGUACUGUGACGCCUCUGGCACUGGACUUGGGUGUGUUCUUAUGCAAGACAACCGAGUCAUUGCCUAUGCCUCACGGGCGUUACGACCUCAUGAGCUGAACUACCCAACCCAUGAUCUUGAGUUGGCAGCAGUGAUCCAUGCCUUAAGGAUAUGGAGACAUUAUCUGAUGGGCACCCGCUGCAACAUCUACACCGACCACAAGAGCCUCGAGUAUAUCUUCACCCAAGCCGACCUCAACAUGCGCCAAAGAAGAUGGUUGGAGUUGAUAAAAGACUAUGAUUUGGAAGUGCACUAUCAUCUCGGCAAGGCCAAUGUGGUGGCCGAUGCUCUUAGCCGCAAGCCCUGUUGCAACUGCUUGUUGGCAACAACCUUCACUGAAACUUUGUGUCAUGAGAUAGGAAAACUCAGUUUGGAAAUUGUUUCCCAUGGAACCCUCAGCCACAUCGCCCUUGAGUCUUUUUUGGAAGACCAAAUAAGGUUAGCACAAGUGGAGGAUGAGGAAGUAAGGCGGAUCACCAGGAAGAUUUCCUUGAAGGAGGAAGGAUAUAAGCAGUUUUGACAGGAUGAAACUGGAAAAGUGUAUUAUGUAAACCGACUGGUCGUACCAGCCGACCCCAACUUGAGGAAGCAGAUCCUAGAUGAAGCUCAUCUCUCCAAGUUCUCAAUCCACACAGGCAGCAAUAAGAUUUAUCAUGAUCUCCGUCAAACUUUCUGGUGGAGCGGAAUGAAGCCGGAAAUUGCCCGGUAUGUUUCAAAGUGUGACACCUGCCAACGCGUCAAGGCCAGUCAUCUAAAGGUAGCAGGUACUCUACAGCCCCUACCUAUUCCCUCUUGGAAAUGGGAAGAUAUCAGCAUGGAUUUCAUUGUUGGACUGCCCCUUUCGUCGCAGCGACAUGAUUCAAUUUGGGUUAUCGUGGACCGUCUGACCAAGACCGCCCACUUCCUUCCUGUCCACACCACCCACACGAUCAAGCAGUAUGCAGAGCUGUACCUCGACCGCAUAGUUUCCCUACACGGUGUGCCUAAGACCAUCAUCUCUGAUCGAGGAGUUCAGUUUGUAGCACGCUUUUGGGAACAGCUGCAAGCAACCAUGGACACCAAACUCAUUCGUAGCUCAACCUAUCAUCCUCAAACCGAUGGUCAAACCGAAAGAGUCAAUCAGAUCCUUGAAGACAUGUUGAGAGCUUGUGUCAUCCACUAUGGCAAAAAUUGGGACAAGUGCCUGCCAUUGGCGGAGUUCUCCUACAACAAUAGCUACCAAGCCAGUUUGAAGAUGGCACCGUUUGAAGCCUUGUAUGGACAAAGAUGCCGGACACCAUUGAAAUGGUCCCAAGCGGGAGAGAGACAAGUUUAUGGCCCUGACUUAGUGGUAGAAGCCGAAGAGCAAGUGAAGGUAAUUCAGGCAAAUCUCAAGGCUGCCCAAUCCCGACAGAAGAGUUACUCCGAUAGAAGAAGAAGGCCCCUGCAGUUUGACAUUGGUGAUCAUGUGUAUCUUCGAGUUUCCCCAACCAAAGGAGUGCAACGGUUUGGAGUGAAAGGGAAAUUGGCUCCCCGUUACAUUGGCCCAUAUGAGAUUGUGGAAAUUUGUGGACCCGUUGCCUAUCGGAUCCAGCUCCCAGAAUAGCUCUCGGCCAUACACGAUGUUUUCCAUGUGUCUCAACUGAAGAGAUGUGUCCAGGUCCUAACCGAGAUCUUAGAACAGGAGCUUCAAAUCGAGCCUGACCUAACCUAUGCAGAGUACCCGGCCAAGGUCCUUGACCAGAAAGAGAGGCGCACCCGACGCCAAGUGGUCAAAAUGUACAAGAUCCUCUGGAGAAACCACAUGGAGGAUGAAGCAACGUGGGAAACAGAAGAGUACUUGAACAAGCACUUCCCAGGUUUUCUUUCCAGCCAUGGAGGUAAGGGCUACACACCCCCACCAGUUGCUUCUACAUCCGAAUCUCGGGAUGAGAUUCUUCUUAAGGGGGGUAGGCUGUAACGACCUCGAUUGAAACCCUUCGCGUUAAUCUUAAUCCGAGUCCCUGAUCACCUGCCUCAGUUUACCAAGCCUAAGUGCUCAACCUCCAGAUCUCCCGACCCCCUGCGAUCCGACCCCUCGCCAUGUUUCCCCCAGUUCCGACCCCGCCGACCCCCAACCCACCGCCGGAUCUCUCGAAGUCUUCCCACAACGCCUCUCUUCAAUCUGAGCCGUGGACCAUCGAAGCUGACCGGUGGACCCACGAGAUCUUUCUCCCAGAUCUCCCGCGACAGGCGCACUCGAGUUGCAUGCCCGCUUCAGAGUUCCCUAGCCACGUGGCUCAACUCCUCCGACGCCCGCCGCUCCGCCUCGUCGCCGGCCACGACCGGAUGGAUUCUCGCACCCCCUUCCCCAAUCGCGGCGGAAGCUCCUCUGCCACCCUUUCUGCAGCACCUCGCCGCCCGCGCCUAUCAUCACAUCACCAAAUCCUGACUGCAGAGCCCGAUGCCGCCCGUCUUUUCCGUCACCCUCCACAGUCGCGCCGCCCCGGUCCUCGCUACGCGACGAUUCCUCCUCCACCAACCCAGACCGCGGCAGCGACAGCUCUUUUUCCGCUUUGUCAGAAGCUCCGCCCCGACAAUCUGUUGCUCCACACUCGCCCGCGUGACCGCAGCCGCCUGUCUUCUCACCUAUGCACCCUCAUUUCUAGCGCCGUUUCCCCAAUCACUUCCAUCAGAUCCACCGCACGACGACGCCCACCUCCACCAAAUCUCAACCACCGGCAAACCCGCGCCUGCGCCGCCCUGACAUCAGUGCCCAAUGACCGCCGGUGUCGUCCCCGAAGUCCUGCUCCACCGCCCUCGUCGCUCAAUCGUCGCCCCGGCAGAGCACUCCAUCGCACUUCCCCGGCCUUCGUGCCGCUCCCCCUUCCCUCUUCCGCGCAGCUAUAAAAUGGAAUGCCGGAGCCCCGCUGGAGUUCCCCUUGCCCACGCUGCCCUCCCGCUUGCUCCCUGUUCGUGGUCACAGCGCCACCGCCUAAGUUUGAGGAACCCUCCUCUCCGCUCAAACACCACCUUCCCCCAAUCCACCAGCCACUGUUUCCCGUGCUGCACAAGAGCUUGCUUGUGAUCCACCCGAAGCACCUCCGCUGCCGAAGUAGCACCGGACAUCCUCACCGCUGUCCCACGCCUUAGUCUUUCCGCCCAAGCCUCAUCUGUAAGACGAAGGUAAGCUACCGACCCCUGUUCGCCUCGUCCGACCCCUCCUAUCCGCCCGACCCCAGUUCCGUCUCGCCCGACCCUGUCUGUUCCGCCGACCUUUCUCCGCCUCGCCCGAGGGCUCGGCUGUAUCUUUUUCCUUGAACCGAGGGUGUAUGUAUAAAACUUGGGGACUUUUCAGCGUUACGUCUGAGGACCCCUAGCACAUCUAUUCCUCUAGAUUAAGGGUCAGAUCAUAAGUUCCUCCCCAUCCGACCCUUAUAUCUUGAUCUCCACCAACUCAAUCGAACCUCCCCACCCUCCUGUAACUUGCCGCAAGUUUCUGGGCUCAAACUUGCAAGUGUUGCUGUUGAAAAUAACCGUCUAAAUGCUAACCAAUGCAUUGCAUUCGUGUAGAGCUGCGUCUCACCGACGGCUUCUACGAGCUGCACUCGGCGCCAGAAGAUGAAGGUGUAGUCGAGCUCCUGCCUCCAGAAGCCGAAGCCGCCCAAGCAGACGAGCAGCUUCCCUCCUCCUUGCUCGAAGGCAAGCCCCGGAUGCAUGAAUCCCCUAUGUUUUACCAAACUUGCGCAUGCCUUGUUUAACAUGCUAGUGCAUUUACGUAUAGGAGUUGUUUGGAACCAUAGAGGCAUGACUUAGAUCCCUUGAUCUGAUCACUAGUUGUUGGACCGAGUAGAUGCUUUGCUUAAUUAGGAAACGGUAAAAGCCGAGUGAUUUCCUGUCACUCGCGAGCUGUAGGAGUUGGUUGUUUCCCUUCUGUUACAACUAUAAGGACGAUGGAUGGGGCAGGGUUUUGGGUAACUCUUUGGUGGUCGGUUGAUCGCCCCGUCUGUCUAUGAAACUUGCUAAGGCCCGACAGUGGUGGUGUUCGUGAUCAAGUGUUUGAAAGUACUAAUCUCAUACCUAGUAUGGGAUGGGGAAGCCUAGUACCUGAUUGAACUAGGGCAUGGCUUAUACCCCUGCUGUCCCUGGAACGAGGUUCCCAUGGUGCAUCAUGUGGGUGCAAGUGCGGUCAUAAUAGAGACCGGGACUGUGGAGCAUUGCAUGCCAAGGGAAGUUUGGACCUGACACGCGCCUGGGAAUUGAUGGGGACGGCCGACACAGGAAGCGACCCUUGUGGUGCGCGGAUGUCGUGAGAUUAGGUUCGCCAUGCAUGGUUAAGAAACUCGAAUCGAUUCGUCUGCCUCUCACAGUUUGAGACUGCUUGAUCGCUAUGUCACCCUGAGUAAUAAAGGAAUCUGAUGAUGACAUGGUUUUGAUGAUGAUGUAUAUACCUUGGUUGGUUCUAUGUCUGUUUAGAAGUAGGUUGCAAACUUAGACCGGAUAAUGAACUUAGAACCUGAUCUAAAACUUCAAAGUAGGGAUACACCUAGCGCUUUUGGCAAACAAACCCCUCAGCAAAAAAGGCCUUGCAUGUCUAGAAGUGGUGGAGUAGCGUACUCCCUGUCGGUUAAGUCUUGUUGAGCUUAGUAGCUCAGCCUUGUUGUGGCUCCACUUUUUCAGGUGAAGUUGCUGCCUCUGAGCCUCCCUCUGCUGGCACUUGGCUGCUCCAACUCCCUCCGGGUUGGACGGUUGAGUGGGAUCCCUCCUCGGACGGCGAGGAGAGGGAUCAUUGAUGUCCCGGUUGGCCUCACCAGGGAUAUCCGACCCCGACGAAGUAGCUUCCGUGCGUUGUUUUACCUUCUGUUGUUUUCUUCAGAACCUUGUAAACUCUGAUAUUGUUUUAUGGCCAAACUAAACGGUUAAUUUGUUAACUCAGUGGACUUGUUGUAUUCUCUGGAACCGCUCACCUUCGUGUGGGUUUGCUAUUCGGUCCUGUUCAAGUGGUUAAAUCGGAUGAAAUCCGACGGCACUUCGUGUUUACUUGGUUAAGGCAUGAGCGUCGCAUAUCAGGCGGCUUAAUCAUGACUAAUCAAGCAAAUCCGAAGCGGAUCUGCCACACUGAUGACCUAGAGUUACAAGUCGGUUUGAAUCCAAUCUACUCGGUUGUUACAUGGAAGGUGAUAUGAAUCGGAUUAUAAUACGUAUCCGCAAUAUCCGGGAUGAUUUGAAUUUCCCGGUCUCAUUGACUUAUGCACCAAGUAUCUUCAAAUCCUUGGCCCGCACGUUUUGGUCAGGCGGGCCUACUUGUCAAGUCCGACCAGUAUCCUGGUCAGUGGGGACCCAUGGGGUACCCAUAUCCCUCAAGCCCCCGAGCGAUGUGUAGGCAAACAGGAACUUGAGGUCAUCACAGCGAAGCUUGGAAUGUAGUUGACUAAAGCUAUGAUGGCGUAAUGGUGACGGAGAGGCUGCACAAUGCUCAAUAAAGAAGAAAAUCCCAACGAACAUGGAGCCAAACACGCAGAGUGAAGUAGAGUGCCGAGUUGAUGGAUGGCGGACAUCUAGUAGGUUGAAGCGAAGGAAAUGGAGGGCGUCACAAGAUGCACUCUAGAGGAGUAGCCCUUGAGCAUUGACGCAAUUAGUAUAAUCGGUCCAAUGGUCAAAGAAGAAAAAAUUGAUCCGAGAAGCAGAUCCUAGUGCCUAAACACGACGACAGGAAAAACCACAGAGGCGCGCUGACCAGAAGUAGGCGUCCAGCCCCUUGAGGAUGAGGACUGGCAGAGCCACGGAGGCACGCCAACCUGAAAUAGGCGCCUAGCCCCCGAGGACGAGGACUGGCAGAGCCAUGGAAGCAUGCCAUCCUAAAAUAGGUGCCCAACCCUCGAGGGUGAGGACUGGCGGAGUUUUGGAGGCACGCUGACCUGAAAUAGGUGCCCAGCCCCCGAGGAUGAGGAUUGGCGGAGCCGCGGAGGCACGCCAACCUGAAAUAGGCUCCAAGCCCCCGAGGAUGAGGACGGGCAGAGCCACGGAGGCACGCCCUAGGAAAAAUAAUAAAAAAUUGAGUAUUUAUUUAAUGCCUUCUUUUAAGGUAAUUAAAUAAAUGCUUAAUCUUAAUAAAUACAUAAAAUAUGGAAUAACAUUUCAUAAUCACAAAUUAUUGUUAACUCAUAGGAAAUUAGGUUUCAAGAUUAGAAAAUAAUUAUAAUAUCUUCUAAAAAUAAAAGAAAAAGCCCUAAGUAAGGUUAGUUAAGGAAAUAAAAUUGUUGGGCUAAUCUUUUCGGGUUUUUGUGUGUUGGCUUGCAACUUUAUCAUGAUAAAUUAUAUAGUCCUUGUUGGCUUGCAACUUUAUCAUGAAGGAAAGUUGUAUAGUCUUGUAUUCAAAAAAGUUGCAUUCCUAACCCCUGCAUAUGCUUUGUCAUAGACACCGAAGCACCAGAAGGAGAUUUCUCGGAAUUUUCAGAAGGAUCUCCAGAGUUUGAAGAGGUCUUUGAGUUGGUUCCCUGCGAGGCCAAUCCUUCAGAUAGUGCUAACUUUUUUAUAGAACAAGGCAAGCCCCGAUGCAUUAUACCUAUUAUUUUAGAGUCGAUAUUUCAUGUGUCCAAUUAUCGGUUAUUUGCUAUAUGUAUGCACUAAGUCCAGGAGUUGCUUGAAACCCAUUCUUGUGCAUUAUCCUACCUUGUUUUAAGGACAUCUUUGCCACUUGUUCAAACAUUUAGUAAAUAACCCAAGUCUAGAAAUGCUUAGUUGCUUAAAUAAUUGGUUACCGAACCUUAAGGUAAAUAUUGAGUCAGGCAUGUUAGUUACGGAAAGAUAACUUGGAAGAUAAGAAGCGGACAGAAGCUAAGGAUGUAGUUCUGUCUGCUAGAUUAAUUUGGUUAAGGCCCGAUUCGUUGUCUUAACCUUUGAUCAAGUGAAAGACAUCUGAUCACUUACUGGGUAUGGGACCAGUAAAGCCCAGUAGGUUAGUAAACCCUCUGAUCGGGAAUACUUCGUACCCGCGCUUGAUGUGCUGGAGAUUGGCAGGGGCGUAGCCUGAAACUCACAUGGUGAUCAGGCCAUACGUGGGGUCCCAUGUGGGGGUGCGUCCCUAGGUCCGGGUAGUCUUAUUCCCAAUCAUUGGAUUUGCUAAUCGAAAAGUCGUUACGUACGACCUGGACAGUCGUAUAUAGCUGGUGAUCAGGGUACUCUCCUGCAGGAUGUAAUUUGAUCCGGAUCGCCGCAAUUCUCAGUUAUGAAUGCACUUGAUCACUGUUGAGCAUCGUAGCAUAAAUUCAUGAAUGCUAUAUCUCUCCACUAAUGUUUUGGUGUAUGACUUAACACCUUGUUGUUUGCAAUUAAUCUUUGGUCAUGAUUUAGAAUGGUUAGAUAAUAACUUAAUCAAAAUAAAAGACAAAGCUAAGGUCUCACUCUUAGUAAGCUAUUUUGCCUGAAAAAGCUAUCAUAUAGUUCCAAGAAAAACUAUUAUAUUGUUUAGUCGGGUAAGCCUUGCUGAGUACCUCGUACUCAGGGUUAUCCCUUGUGGCUAUUUUCAGAGGCACCGCAAGAAUCCACCGCGGAGGAAGCCCCAAAAAACUAGGGUAUUGUUAUGAAUCUCACAAUACCCUUAGAAGAAAUCUUAAAUGCUCAUCUCCCACCUGAACCAUUUAUGUUUAAAAUCCUAGAACCUCUGUCUAACCUGCACUGUUAAGUUUAUUUCAAACUAUGUCUUGUAAUAACUCGUACCUCGUGUAUGUAUGUAAAAAUGUAAUAUUUGUUGAUGCUUUCCCAUCGCGGAAACAAUCCUGAUGUAUGGCUAUGAGACGUGACGUGGAUCAUUCGAGGAGUCCUAGGGGAACUCGACGGACGACCGGGCUUAUACUGUUUUAAGUGCGUCUCGGAUAAUUGCUGCAUCGGCAGCGAUUAGGCGCAUUUAAAGCAGUUUAAGUUGGACGAUUCCACCACAGCUGGUAUUAGAGCCAUAGGUUGGGAUAAUCAAUAGAUAUUACCAUUUAAACACUGAGACUCUAUUUUAAAUAAAGAAAACGUGAGUCACAGGUGACAGUAGUGUUAACCGGUUGUUUGUUUUGCAGAUGCUAACUGUUUGCUGCGUGUCGCUAGUACUCGGUAGUAUAUUAUUAGGAAGAGAUUACGAUGCCACCAAUUUCUCUACGAGUGUGUAUAUGAGUCUGUGAGUACGUAGGAGUCGUUGCAUCAUGUUGCAUAAGCCUGUUUUAAAAACUUUUGGGUUUGGUGAGUGCCAUUAGACCUAACCUCGUUUCUUUUAUAGGAUGUUCCAAGAAGGCUACACAGACCAGGACGGAUGGACCCGAGGACAUUACUUGGACAAGCCAGGGUUUGUGCAGCUGUUAUGGAAAACGCUGCAGGAGUUAGGCUUCCAUAAUCCUCCGGAGUACUAUUGGAGGAAGGAGGACAUGUGUCAUAAGCAGUGUUGUACUGUUUAUGUUCAUAUCUCGGAUGAAGACACCAACCCCAAUUGGCGUCUUGAUGAAGUGAUGGAGUCGGGCUUCGAGUUUAAUGAUACAAAUGAAAGGGCAGCUAUGACCGCUCUCACAGACCUAUGUGAGAAACACAAAGUAGAAAUAGGGUCAAGCUCUGCUCGAUUCUAUCCUAUAAAGCAUCAAGAUGAUGGAAUUUGGAAGAGAAGGAUUAAAGCCCUGAAGAAUUCGUCUCGCGUGGAGCAUGAUGUUUUGGUUGCUGCUGCCUCCGACUAUAUGAUGGCCAUGUACAACAUGCAUCAGUCUUGCAUCAGGGAAUAUUAUAAUCAGAGGAAGAGAAAUGAAGAUGUCAAGAUGGAGGUGAUGGGUGCCAGACACGAUAAAGAGUUGUACAAGAAAGCAGCAUUAGCAAGGGAACAUGACAUGGAGAAGAUCAUGAGAGAACAGUCUAGAAGGAUAGAUGAAUAUGAAGAGAAGCUCAGGGCAAUGAAGGAAUUCAUGGAUGCCAGUAGGAAUAUGGCAGACAGGGCAAGAGAAGAAGCUGAAUCUAAUGUUAACAGGCUCGAGGUAGAAAGGUUCCAGCAGCUGGACGAAAUCUUAUCUCUUCGUCUUGCUUUGGAGGAAAUGCAGGCUCAGGUACCUGCUCAGAAUAUAGUCAAUGUUCCACCGCCUCCACCACCGGAUGAACCCCAACCGCCAAACCCAGAAGAAGCAGAUCAGUUGGUGGACGUUGUAGGAGUGGAGGGUGAUAUUGCUCCACCUGCAGCUCCCGAGAUCGAUUUAUACGCUCACGAAAAUUUAGAAGGUUUUGAUGUCGACAUGGGAGAUGAUUUGGGUGAAGCUCCAAUGGAAAACCAUCACUUUGCCUGGGCCGAUGCCAAUGCAUAUGGGUUAGAUCCACAAGGCUAUGGACCUCUGCAGCAGUGGGGUGAAGCCGAGCAGGAAGGCGGGGAAGAAGAAGAAGACCUAGAAGAAAUGGAGGGGAAUUCUGGAGUUAGUACCUCUGCAUCAUAUACCUCCUAUACUUCAAGUGACCCUGGGCUAGAGUCGGAAAGUGAGAAUUCAGUAAAUCAGCCCCCACCUGUCACUCCUCCGGGAUAGACAUUGAUGACGAUGGACCAGGAUGUUCUGCAGGCUGCGAUAGCCCGGCUAGGACUAAAUGCUGAAGAGCUAGGCAUCUACCCCUAUGACGGCUAAAGCAAGAUAUUAACCAAGAGAUGUUAUGAUGUAAGAUAAACGUAGUGGACAGAGUAGUAUGGUGGUUUUGUAAAAAGUAACUUCGAGUCAUGUAAUAUAAAUAAUCAUGUAUAUAAGUGUGGUUUGUGUGUAAUUACAAUAGUCAUGCUGUGAUGUGUGAAAUACUAGUGUGCACAUGGAACUGUUAGUAAACUGUAACAUAGAUAUUAAUACUCUAUUUGAUUUUGGCAGCAUGACGGAUCCGAGAGGUCCUCGAGCUUUGGGGUCAGGGGGCCAUGAGGAGAACUUACCUAGAGCCCCCACACUAGCUGAUGCCAUAGCCAGCCUCAUGAAUUCAGGAGCCGAACAGGCUCGACUGCUUUAGAUGAUUGUGCAAAACACCGGCAAUGGUGGAAACCGACGGGACCCAGAACGUGGUGUAUCCUACACCCAGUUUCUGGAAACUCGUCCUCCGAUAUUCCUAAGAGCUAAGCACCCACUAGAAGCUAAUGAAUGGCUUCAGACGAUGGAGCAAAAAUUUCGGGUGAUCCCCCAGUGCACUACCACCCAGAAGGUGGAGUUUGCCGGACUCCAACUCCAAGGUCCCGUUGGGAAUGGUGGACCAGUUAUUUGGCAAGGAAACCGAUCGAAAGGGAAGUUACUUGGGAAAACUUCAAGGAAGCCUUCCGAACACAGUUUGUGCCAGAAGGUAUUAUGCGAAUGAAGCUGGAGCAAUUCCUAGGGCUGCAGCAAGGGACCCGUAGCAUUCUGGAAUACACCAAUGAGUUUGAUCACUUGGCCCAGUAUGCACCGGAACAUGUUAACACAGAGUCCAGAAAAAGAGACUGUUAUCUUCGUGGGCUUAAUGCACGAAUGCAGGAGAAGUUGUCUACCUGCACCUUUGUUGAUUAUAGUUCUGCGGUAAGCACAGCCAUUACUGCAGAAGAAAAGAUGAGAAUCUUAGAUGAAACUUUAAAGAAAGAAGAAUCCUUGAAGAGGAAGAAUAUUCCUUUUGGAACCUUCGGGAAUGCCCCGCAGAGGAUGAAGGUAGUAUACCGAGGUCCUCCUCGACCCGCGUAUCGGCCUUCUUUUCAGCAGAGGCCAUUUUAGCCCUGGAAUGUCAGAACUCCUAUUAAUGCUCCUCACCCUGGAAGUGCGCCACCUCUUGGAUUUUGCAGCCCUACUCCUCUGGGGAAUCCACAGGUUUGUUUUAACUGUGGGAAGCCGGGACACUUUGCCCGGGACUGCCGUUUUCCCAAAGCUGGGGGAAACACGAAUUUGAGGGCUCAAACCUCUGGUCAAGGCACCGGACAGAAGUUUGUUCGUCGCAAAUUUCUGAAUACCAAGACGAGGCAGGCUCAUUAUAUGAAUGUGGAGGAGAUUCUGAAAGGUGUGCCUAUUCUGGUAGGUAUGUACCUUGUCAAUGAUUAUCCUGCCAUGAUUUUAUUUGAUUCGGGUGCGUCACAUACUUUUAUAAGUAGAAAGUUUGUUAAGCAACACCAACUAGAAGUGCACACCUUAAAUGUCAAAUAUGCUAUUCAAGCUACUGGAGCUACUCAAAAUACAAGUCAGGUAGCUCGCAAUGUGAUUUUGAAUUUAGAAGGAAAUAAGGUGGGUGCUUAUCCUUUAAUUCUAGAAGAUCAAGGAAUAGAUAUUAUUUUGGGGGUAAAUUGGAUGAAGGAACAUAAAUUUCAAAUCAAUAUGGAUAACCGGGUCGUUAGUAUGAGAGAUGACCAAGGCCAUCCUUUUGAGCUCCAAUUACCUGCUCAUCCCUGUUUGGACCAGAUGGUCAAAAAGACUAGAGCAGUGACUCUAGAAUCUAUUCCUGUGGUGAAUGAGUUUGUAGAUGUGUUUCCAGAAGAUCUUCCUAGACUACCGCCUGAUAGAGCGGUAGAAUUUACUAUUGAGUUAGAACCUGGCAUUGCUCCUAUCUCGAGAAGGCCAUAUCAGAUGCCACCUAAGGAGUUAGCAGAAUUAAAAGUUCAACUCCAAGAAUUGCUAGAUAAAGGUUUUGUCCGACCUAGCACUUCACCAUGGGGCUGCCCUGCACUAUUUGUUAAAAAGAAAGAUGGCACAUUAAGGUUGUGUGUGGAUUACUGCCCUUUGAAUGCGGUAACCAUUAAAAACAAGUAUCGGUUGCCACGGAUUGACUUGUUAUUUGAUCAACUAGCUGGAGCCAAGGUCUUUUCAAAAAUCGACCUUCGGUCAGGAUAUCAUCAGAUUAAGAUAAAACCCGAAGACAUACCUAAAACAGCCUUCUCAACCCGAUAUGGAUUGUAUGAGUACUUGGUUAUGUCUUUUGGACUGACAAAUGCCCUAGCGCAUUUUAUGUACCUCAUGAAUUCGGUGUUCAUGCCAGAAUUAGAUAAAUUUGUGGUCGUCUUUAUAGAUGAUAUCCUCGUCUUUUCUAAAAAUGAAGAGGAACAUGUGCAACAGCUGCGUAUUGUUCUAAAUAGACUCCGGGAACACCAGUUAUAUGCCAAGUUCAGCAAAUGUGAAUUCUGGUUAAAGAAAGUUCCAUUCCUUGGGCAUAUACUGUCCGAAAAAGGAAUUGAAGUAGAUCCCGGAAAAGUCAAGGACAUAUUGGAUUGGAAAUCACCAACCUCUAUACAUGAAGUAAGAAGUUUCUUGGGAAUGGCCGGGUAUUACCGUAGGUUCAUCCCCAACUUCUCAAAAAUUUCCAAACCAAUCACGAAGUUGUUAAAGAAAGAAGUGAAAUUUGGGUGGAACCCCGAAUGUGAAGAAUCGUUUGAAACCCUAAAGAAGCUACUGACUACAGCCCCAGUGCUAGCUCAACCUGAUAUAGAGAAGCCCUUUGACGUGUACUGUGACGCCUCAGGGAUAGGGAUAGGGUGUGUUCUUAUGCAAGACGGUAGAGUUAUUGCUUAUGCUUCUCGUCAACUGAAGCGUCAUGAAGAGCAUUACCCUACGCAUGAUUUAGAGCUUGUUGCUGUAGUCCAUGCAUUAAAGAUAUGGCGGCACUAUCUUUUAGGUAGUGAAUGUCGUAUCUUUACUGACCAUAAGAGCUUAAAGUACAUUUUCACUCAAAUGGACUUGAACAUGAGGCAGAGACGGUGGUUGGAGCUAAUUAAAGAUUAUAAGCUAGAAAUCCACUAUCAUCCUGGUAAGGCUAAUGUGGUGGCUGAUGCUUUGAGUAGAAAGGCCCAAUGCCACUGUACUACUAUUCAGUCUAACCUUAAGACCCUAUGUGAAGAGUUGGAAGAUUUAAGCUUGAAAAUAGUAAAACAAGGUGCCCUCCAGAACAUUAUUGUGCAAGACACCUUAAAGGGAAGAAUCAUAACAGUCCAAAAAGAAGAUCCUUGGACCAAGGUGCUUUAUCAACGAAGGAUAGAAGGAAAGAUUCCUGAACUCACUCAAGAAGAAGAUGGAGGAUUAUAUUUCAAGAAAAGGAUAGUAGUUCCUAAGAAUGAAAGCCUAAGAAAAUUGAUCUUAGAUGAAGCACAUCUAUCUAAGCUCGCAAUCCAUCCCGGAAGCAACAAAAUGUACCAAGAUUUAAAGCAAAGAUUCUGGUAGGCCAGGAUGAAACCUGAAAUUGCAAGAUAUGUAGCCGAGUGCGAUACCUGCCGGAGAGUUAAACCAAUACUACAAAAGUCAGCGGGUUUGCUUCAACCUUCGGAAAUCCCUGUCUGGAAGUGGGAAGAUAUUUCCAUGACUUCAUAGUUGGAUUGCCUACUACUUCAAAAGGGUAUGAUUCCAACUUACUAAGUCAGCCCAUUUCAUCCCCGUCAAGACUACAUAUCCAGUGUCGACAUAUGCCAAAAUCUAUAUAGCCCGGAUCAUAUCUUUGCACGGAGUACCAAAGACAAUUAUCUCCGAUCGAGGCUCCUAGUUUUUUUCUAGGUUUUGGGAACAACUGCAAAAAGAUAUGGGCACUACUCUAAUCAGAAGCUCUGCCUAUCAUCCUCAAACCGGAGGACAGACAGAAAGGGUCAACCAAAUCUUGGAAGACAUGUUAAGAGCAUGUGUCCUAAGCUAUGGGACGAAUGUUUGCCCCUAGCCGAGUUCUCCUAUAAUAAUAGCUAUCAAGCUAGUAUUAAAAUGACACCUUUCGAAGCCUUGUAUGGUCGAAGAUGCCGAACCCCCUUGAAUUGGUCGGAAGUAGGAGAAAGGACACAUUUAGGACCAGAUUUGGUUAUGGAAACUGAAGAAAAGGUCCGAAAAAUUCGUAAACAUUUGGAAAUAGCCCAGUCUCGAUAGAAGAGUUAUUUAGAUAAAAGGAGACGGUUUUUGGAAUUUCAUAUUGGAGAUUUUGUAUACUUGAAGGUAUCCCCGAUGAAAGGAGUGCAACGUGUUGGGAUAAAGGGUAAAUUAGCCCUAAGGUAUAUUGGUCCUUACAAAAUUCUGGAACGAAAGGGUCCGGUAGCAUACAAGCUAUCAUUACCAGACCAACUUACUUCUAUACAUGAUGUAUUUCAUGUAUCUCAGCUUAAGAAGUGCUUAAGAGUUCCGGAAGAGAUUUUAGAAGAUCUAGAAAUUGAGCUCGAACCAGACCUAACCUACGAAGAAAGGCCUAUUAAAAUUCUAGAUCAAAAGACAAGAGAUACCCGAACUCGGAGUAUUACAUUUUACAAGGUACAAUGGAAAAAUCAUACUCCAGAUGAAGCUACCUGGGAAUAGGCUGAAGACCUAGAGUCUAAAUAUCCUGAGCUAUUUGGAACUAUCAGGAGCAGAUGAACAAAAGCCACCACUUCACUUUCCUUGUACAGAAAAGAGAAAGAUAUUUGACCUGACGCAGUUUCCUUUCCAUUUUCAAACCCAAGAAUUUAACCCCUGGAAUCUCAGGACGAGAUUCUGUUAAGGGGGAGAGGCUGUAACACCUGCUAUUUAGUCAUCAAAGUAAUUCUGAAGAAAUAGAAGCAAAUCAUGAAGAAAAGGAGAAGGAAAUUGGCUAAGAAUCAAAUUCGAGUCAAAUUUGACCGAAAUUUGAAUUUUGAAUUCAAAAUUCAGAAAAAUUUGGCAAAAAUAUGGAAUGGAAGGAUAAGGGUGUUUAGAACUUGAAGAUUAAGACUAGGGACAAAAUCUGGACCUAAAUAUUUCAAGAAAACCAAAAGAAGAAAUCAAAAUAGAAAAGCACUAUUCACCAUCCGACAAUAGGAAUUUCAGAAAAACAGCACCAGAGUCCAUUUUGGAAAUUAAUUUCUGCCGAAUUUUUCAAAUAAAGGGAUCAAGACAACUAUACAAUACUGAAGUAUGGACCUUGGAUAAAAAGACCUGGGUGUUGUUGAUCAAGAAUCACAAAGGAAACAAAUUCAAAUUGAGGCCUAAAUUUGGCACUCUGCCAUUUUCGGCCAAGACACUGAAGUUGUCAUUUUUCUAAGUCUGAAACCAGUGGUAAGUGCCUAUGUUUGGAGCCAAAUUCAGGAGAAUGUGGUGCAAGAAGCAUAGGUGAUUAUGGGCAAAAUGGAAUCAUUGAAAGUUGUAGAGUAUGAUUGGUCAGUAGUUGGAUUAAAAAGAAUUGAAUUAGGCCACUGAAAGUCUUUUCAAAGUCGGGUAAGUGACUCUGCUCAAAGGACUGACGAACUGAACUUCAAGUUCAGAGUGAUUCAGUUAAAAGGGGGAAAGGAAUUCAAAAUUCAACUAUGUUAGGAUGUUUAUCUCGGGUCAGAGCAAAAAUAAAACUUGGAGAGUUCAAGUUUAUCUACAACAUUGCUUAAAGGACCGUGGAGCCGUCGGAUUCAAAAUCGACCGUGAUUUGGAUCUGAAUUUCGGGCAUCAGAAAAACAAGAAAGGGGGGGGGUGAUAGAGCCGAGCCCGACGUGUCGCCGCCGGUGUUCUCGGUCGACCGCCAGCAUAGCAACUACGCCACCUCCUCACCACGCAAGCCUAGCACUAGGCCAUGGUGUCGCCCAUGCGCGCGGUAAGUCUUUCGUAUAUCUACCGCUCCCGCCACCACUUUCACCGUCUGUUCUUUUACCGCCGCCGCCCUCUCUGUCAAGCCACCGCCGCCAACCAAAUUCCACUGCCACACCUCACCUCCCAUCGAUUCCUCUCGCCUACUCCUCCACAGGUACCCCAGCUACACCCCGGUCAACUUGUUGCCCAGCAUCCUUGCCGGAGUACCCGUACUCGCCGUUGUUUCCAUCCACCGCCGCACCUCCUGCUCACGGUGAGCACCCCCUUGCUGUCGCUGUUGUUCCUUGUGGUCAGUUUUAGGUAGACGUCUAGGGCACUAGGAAGCCGUAGAGGAAGUUGUCGGGGUAGGACGAGCCGUCGUCGUGCUUAGCCACGACCGGCCGUAGGCGCCGCCGCCUGCCGUCGUGGAGGGAGUGGCUCCGACCACCUCCUGGGGAGUUACCGCUGCGCACGGGUGCGCUAGGGCAUGGGGAUGCUUCCCCGGCCUAGCCCCGUCGCCGGUGGGACGCCGGCCGGCGAGCCGCGCCGCCCCCUGUUACGCUCAGGUUUUGGCGGGAGGAGGAAGAAGGUUCUGGUACCGCGGGCCCGUGCGUCAGGGAGGAGAGGAGAGGGAGGAGGUAGGUCGGGCGAUGGCUUAAGUGGACCUAGAGUCCAGCCGGCCCAAGUGCCGGUGCGGGAAGGGCCGUUCGAAGAAAAGGCCGGAGGCCCAGGUGGUCCAGCAGGCCGGCUUCGCGGAAAAGAAGGAAGAGGAGAGGUGGGCCGUCGGGCCAUCGCCGGUUGGAGAAAAGAAAAAGAAAAAGAAAAUGGCCCAGUAGGCCCAGUAGAGGUUUACGAGGCCGGCGGGUAAGAUAAAUAGGAGAAGGAGGUGGGUCCAAGCCGCGGGCCCAGCGUAAGAGAGAGGGGGUAGAGUUAGGGCGUGUGAGAAAAGUAGGCCGGGGAGUUUUUCGGGAAAAAGUUAGAUUUCCUUUGUAGAAUAAAUAGAUUAAAUCCGAAUCUCACCAUUUAAAUCACAGAAAUUUCUAGGGGUGUCCAAAAUUAGUGAAACCAAUUUUGUUAGGAUUGUUUUAUUUUCCUUUAUGCAUUAAAAUUUUUAUACCCUAGGCAAAAUAAUAAAAAUUUGGGUAUUUAUUUAAUGCCUUUCUUUUAAGGUAAUUAAAUAAAUGCUUAAUCUUAAUAAAUACAUAAAAUAUGGAAUAACAUUUCAUAAUCACAAAUUAUUGUUGACUCAUAGGAAAUUAGGUUUCAAGAUUAGAAAAUAAUUAUAAUAUCUUCUAAAAAUAAAAGAAAAAGCCCUAAGUAAGGUUAGUUAAGGAAAUAAAAUUGUUGGGCUAAUCUUUUCGGGUUUUUGUGUGUUGGCUUGCAACUUUAUCAUGAUAAAUUAUAUAGUCCUUGUUGGCUUGCAACUUUAUCAUGAAGGAAAGUUGUAUAGUCUUGUAUUCAAAAAAGUUGCAUUCCUAACCCCUGCAUACGCUUUGUCAUAGACACCGAAGCACCAGAAGGAGAUUUCUCGGAAUUUUCAGAAGGAUCUCCGGAGUUUGAAGAGGUCUUUGAGUUGGUUCCCUGCGAGGCCAAUCCUUCAGAUAGUGCUAACCUUUUUAUAGAACAAGGCAAGCCCCGAUGAAUUAUACCUAUUAUUUUAGAGUCGAUAUUUCAUGUGUCCAAUUAUCGGUUAUUUGCUAUAUGUAUGCACUAAGUCCAGGAGUUGCUUGAAACCCAUUCUUGUGCAUUAUCCUACCUUGUUUCAAGGACAUCUUUGCUACUUGUUCAAUCAUUUAGUAAAUAACCCAAGUCUAGAAAUGCUUAGUUGCUUAAAUAAUUGGUUACCGAACCUUAAGGUAAAUAUUGAGUCAGGCAUGUUAGUUACGGAAAGAUAACUUGGAAGAUAAGAAGCAUACAGAAGCUAAGGAUGUAGUUCUGUCUGCUAGAUUAAUUUGGUUAAGGCCCGAUUCGUUGUCUUAACCUUUGAUCAAGUGAAAGACAUCUGAUCACUUACUGGGUAUGGGACCAGUAAAGCCCAGUAGGUUAGUAAACCCUCUGAUCGGGAAUAAUUCGUACUCGCGCUUGACGUGCUAGAGAUUGGCAGGGGCGUAGCCUGAAACUCACAUGGUGAUCAGGCCAGACGUGGGGUCCCAUGUGGGGGUGCGUCCCUAGGUUCGGGUAGUCUUAUUCCCAAUCAUUGGAUUUGCUAAUCGAAAAGUUGUUACGUACGACCUGGACAGUCGUAUAUAGCUGGUGAUCAGGGUACUCUCCUGCAGGAUGUAAUUUGAUCCGGAUCGCCGCAAUUCUCAGUUAUGAAUGCACUUGAUCACUGUUGAGCAUCGUAGCAUAAAUUCAUGAAUGCUAUAUCUCUCCACUAAUGUUUUGGUGUAUGACUUAACACCUUGUUGUUUGCAAUUAAUCUUUGGUCAUCAUUUAGAAUGGUUAGAUAAUAACUUAAUCAAAAUAAAAGACAAAGCUAAGGUCUCACUCUUAGUAAGCUCUUUUGCCAAAAAUGUGUCAGCCAAGCACACUGAAAAAGCUAUCAUAUAGUUCCAAGAAAAACUAUUAUAUUGGUUAGUCAGGUAAGCCUUGCUGAGUACCUCAUACUCAGGGUUAUCCCUUGUGGCUAUUUUCAGAGGCACCGCAGGAAUCCACCGAGGAGGAAGCCCCGAAAAACUAGGGUAUGGUUAUGAGUCUCACAAUACCCUUAGAAGAAAUCUUAAAUGCUCAUCUCCCACCUGAACCGUUUAUGUUUAAAAUCCUAGAACCUCUGCCUAACCUGCACUGUUAAGUUUAUUUCAAGCUAUGUCUUGUAAUAACUCGUACCUCUGUCAUCACAUGUGGACCUAUGGGUCUAACCUCUACAUGUGGCACACCGGUUCUAUGACGAGUCACAGUCAUCACAAAUAGGAGAUGUUGAUGGCGCACCAUUUUGUGAAGAUGUGAGAUGUUGUUCUAUGAUGCUCGUUUUACUUUUGUCAUAGUUUCGUAUUGUCUAAGGGCUACCACCGAUGAUCUAAGAUGAACUUGGGAUUUUCAUCAUAGAUGUGGUCUGUUCAAUGACGAAGUUUCAAAACGUCAUGGAAACUAAGAUUUCUACCGGUGAUCUCCAAGUGGUUUGCUCCUAAGUCUCCUAGAAUGAACAUUCACCAAAUUUGGAUACAUUUGGGUGGUUACAUGGACCUUGCCGAUCAGCUAGCCCCUUUUUGGGCAUUUUGGUCUUCAUUUCUUCUAGGCUAAUUGUUGGUUUUGGACCUUGAAUGUGUAUGCUCCAAAUCUCGCUAUUUUCCUCAAAAACACGGUAUGCUCCAAAACACAGCUAUAUGUGGAUAUGAUCUGAUUAUUAUGUAUGAUCAAUGAUAAUGAUGGUUAUUUUUAUGCUAAUAUUAAGGGUAAACAGAGGUGGAAUUUUACCACUAAGGAUUUGAGAGCAUAUAUGUUGAAGACCAUAAUUGUUAAUUGUAAAAAUUGGAGAACCCAAGAAAAAUUGAAGUAUGUGUUUCCAUUGGAGUAUAUAGUUUUGACAGUUGAACACUAACAUUAGCAGACUUGGUUAUUAACACUCAUAUCCAUAGAUUUUGUUUACUAACUUAUUUUGCAUGUUUUGAAUGUUUUCUCUAACUCCACCUAUGUUGUCUCAACAUAGCAGGUCCCAAGUCCUGGUAAAGGAGGCCAACGUUAAACCUAGCCAUUCUAAUGGAGAUUGUUGGUGGUUAUGAAAUGCCCAAACAGUAGAGGGUGGCUCUUGAACAAGACAUGGUGGCUCUUGAACAAGACACUUGUCCAAAAGAGCUUCUAGGGGACUAAGUGCCUAGCAUUUUGUAUCUUGAGUGAGCCCAUAACUCUUCUAUUUAUAGCCUAAGGGAGCGGGGCCUUUUUGGACUAAGGACCCUUAUGCCUGCGGUACAGUGCCUUCGGCACUGGACCCACUGGCGUACGGUCUUAAGGGUAGCAAGGUCUAACCCUCUCCUCUGUACCUAGGGCUAACGUGGUGUCUCCCUGCCCGCGCUUCUCGUACGGAGGGUGGAUGCAUCAGCCUCCAUAUCUAGGGCUGACGCAGGCGCACUCCUUUUCCCCCGAGGGUGAGUAAAGUUAAAGUUCUUACUCCCAGGGCCCCUGUAGGAGUAGGGACCGGCGUUCUGCCUCUAUCCUUCUUCUUCCCCGAGGCGUGGGGCUUCCAGGUAGGGUAGAGAUCUUCGAAGGAGCUCCGAAUUAUUUAGUUGGGUCCUCCUGCCCCCACACGGUUCGGACCGGCUGGCACGAUAUUGGCGUGUUCCGACAAGGGCUUUGGUGACAGCGAAAGCCUCCUAAGUUCUGAGUUUGAGAGACCCCCGGUAGCUCUAGGGUUCUCUCGGUUCCCAUGGCUCCUCGGCCCCAAGGUCCGUGGCUGCCGCAGAGAGAGGGGGAAAAAGGGGGAUGUUCUCUCCGUAGGGAAAAGGAGAACUUCCGAAACUCCGGAAGUGUCCCGGCGGAGACAAUCCUUCCAGCCCGCGACCCUGGGCCAAUUCCCCAACAGAGAUGAAACCCAAGAGAAAUGCGAGCCCUGAUUUGUGGUUCUUGUUGGAUUUCAACUCUAGCCUACCCCAACUUGCUUGGGACCGAAAGGCUAUCUUGUUGUUGUUGAAUAUUUUCUCUAGGCAUUUGCCUUAAUUUUAUUGGAGAUAGAAAGAUAGAAAGAAGUGUCUAAACCAACAAGAAAGUGAGGCAAAAUCACAUAUUAAGGCACACCAUGAUGAAGCCCCCGAUUCGAUGGACAAAAUUGGACAGACCUAUAGAUCGACAGAUUUGAAGUGUAGAUAGAAAAGUUUUGGCAAUCGGGAGGUGCGCAUUUGCUGGAAAACAUGGAAUUCAUGUUAUCAAGUUUUUCUGUUCCAGACUUGAAAUACAUUUGAAUUCAAAUCCAUGAUUCAAAUUCAAAUCCGCCUCUAGGAAAAAAUCCAACUAAAUCCAAUAACUUCAAAUUACUCAUGCAACUACUAUGCUCAAGUUUUUUUGGUGCAUAAUUUUAAUUAGGAAUUGACACUAGGGCAGCAGCAUCGGUUAUAUCUGAAACCUUUUCAUGCCUAAUUUUAUUCAAUCAAAAAGUUUGAAAUUUGAGAACUGUGCACAUAACAAUACAUAAAAAUAUGAGAUGUUACAAAGAAUGCUAGUUGCCAGACCAAGCACGAUCAAUCCUUGCAUUCCCCAACGAAACAAUAGGCAUUUGUUUCCGAAUAUACAUCCAAACGACAUGCUUGGUGGGAAUGACACAAUUUAAAUGCAAAAUCCAAAUCAGCCAUAUAAGAGCACAAAGAUAAUGCAUUAGAAUGCAAAUCAAGAAGAUAAAAAAAAGAUAUUGUUACCUCUGCAAGAGCUUCCUUCUCGCAUAAACACAUGAGGUUCGCAAGGACAAGAAGGGAGCAUGCCUUUGAUUUGUUUCUUUCAAAGAAGGUUGAAAAACAAAGAUGGGUGAGGGGAAGGUCCAGCUACCUCGUCAACAGCAGCACUGGAGCAGGCCCAUCAAUGAUUCUUUCAAGAUAAAUUUAGAUGGUGCAUUCAAAGCCAGCACAGGAGGAGGAGGAGGGUGGGGAUAUGUAAUCAGGGAUGGAGAUGGCCAGGUGACCAGAGCAGGGGCAGGUGGAUGUCUGAAUCUAGGGCGCGUUUGGUUCGUUUCCGUCGCUAGCCUGGCUCGCAUCUGGUAUGCAGGCUAAGCUAGGCCAGGCUGAUUGCAUGCAGGUGAUCAAUGUUUGGUUACCAGGACGAAAGUAGAUAGGCUGAGCAGAGCACAUGUUUGGUUGCAUGUAUGAGCUAAGAACUGGCGAAUAGAGAAGAGAAAGCAGUUGUUUGGUUGGCUGCAUGUACCAGAGUUUGAAUACCAGAUUGCUGAAAUUGGUGAGGUUACCACAAGUUAAAUUUUAGGCUAGGUACUCAUACAACUCGUUCAUACCAAUGGAGGUCAUCAUCGGCUCAAUAUUACAACAAAUGAUCAUACAAGCUUGUACAAUAAAACUAGGAUAAUAAUGAACUGAACAAUGAUAAUGAUAUCUUUGGUUAGUGUGCUUGUUUUGUUCAGUUGUUUGUCAGCCUUGAACUGAGGAGGGGCUUGAUCUACAUGUUGGUUGUGAAUUAUAGGCCACCCUGAGCCUACUCAUGAAGUAUGCAUAGAUGACAGACACAAAAGCAGCAGCUUUUAUCACAAGCAUGUGUCUCUGGUCGACAGGGUUCAUCUAUUACACAAUGCAAAGCAUGUCUCAGCAAAACAACAAAUCAUUUUGAGCAUUCAACAAGUGGGUCAGGAAAAAAAACUGCAUCAUCGCCUAAUGCACAAGUGCUCACAUAUAGGUAAAUCAGUGUAAUAAGAAUGCAUCAUUAGAUAAGGACAUGUGCUCAGUUUUCAUUUUUAUAACUUAAUAUCAUCGGCCAAGAACAUGUGCUCACUGUUGAAAAUAAAUAAGCAUUCAUCAUCGGCUAAGAACAUGUGCUCACUGUUGAAAGAAAAUAAGCAUUCAUCAUCGGCUAAGAACAUGUGCUCACUGUUGAAAGUAAAUAAGCAUUCAUCAUCGGCUAAGAACAUGUGCUCAGUUUUCAGAGUAAGUAAGCAACCAUCAUCGGCUAAUGACAAAGGCUCACUGGAAAAAAUCGUUACCGCUAGCUCCUUCAGUAAACAGUCCGAGGGCUUUCAAGAGUUCAACGGGUAAGCCAAGAUAAAGGCAGAUCUGCACAUGAGGGAGAGGGAUUACUAUCAAAACAUACAAGAUCCAAUCGGGAGAAACAACAACAGACCGAAACCCUAAAAGAUAAAACUUGCCUUUUUACCUCCAACGAAAUCACCAGCACAGAUCCGACCCUACAAAUGUUCAAAGCAUUAGGACCCCAAAAAAACCGAUGGAGAAAGGGAGCAACACCAGAUCUGCGACGGAUUACAGGUUACCUGCUCUCUUUGCCACGAAACCCCGACGAAUCGAACCUCAAACCUGCGGAAAAUGAAGAGAGGGAGAAGCGAAAGGUCAACCACCGAUUGAAUCGAGCCUCAAACACCGUGGAUCUGGAGCACAAGUAAGAGAAGAUGCAUCACCUGCUGCGUGUUAGAUCUGGAAGAGUAGGAAGAGGAGGACACGAAGAAGCGGGAGAGCUCACAGCGGAGAGGCAGAGGGCGAGUGCGACAGAGAGAAUGGGGGGAGGGGUGGCGGCGGUGAAGAUAUAGCGCGGAUGGAAGGCGCGAAAGGGGCGGCGGUAACCCUAGCUUCCCGCGCGCGCCCCCGCAUCUCCCGUCUGCACGCGAGGAGCCAUUUUUCUGGGCACCGAGAGCGCGCUCGCGUCCCGCACGAGCCAGGCCGUCAAGAAACGGAAUCCAUUUUCGUUUCCCGGUAGCCAGGCUCGGGGGGUUGUGUUGCACGCCCAGAGCCAGGCUCAGGUACGAAUACAGGCAUCCAAUCGCUUCGACGUUGUAUCCCGAGGGCCAGGCCGAGCCAUAUGCGGGGAAGCAAACGCGCCCCUAAUGAACGCGUUCCAUGCAGACAUCCUGGCGUGCUUGGAGGGUGUUAGUGCAACUGAUGAGAUGGGCAUGAGCAAAGUAGUGGUCGAGGAGUCAGAUUCUAUGUUGGUGAAGUUUGCCCUUAUGACGAACUCCUUAGCUUUCUAGGUUGUUUUAGUAUUAGUAUUUUUAAGUUCAUAGAUAUUAGUUCAUAGAUAUAACGUACUAGAAAAAUCAAAACGUUCUACAAUUUAGAACGGAGGGAAUACUUAGUUACAUAAUAACAUAUAUGACACAUAUGUGCCAUUCACGCUGGCAUAGAUAGACCGACAGCGAAGAGAUACGUUGCUAAUCCUAUUUCGUGAAAAUAAAGCGACUUCACUAAAAACAGGGAUAGUUGGAGAAGGCUACAUGCUAAGGGGAACAAACGGUAAGGAAAAGAAUGGAAAAAGGCUACGUCACCAGAAGACGACAAUCUUCCUAAUACGCAGAACGGCAGAACGACACUCCGUUGUGGAAGUCAAAACUUUGCAGAGAUGACGACACAUACGUGAAAAGGAAACAUAAACAGAACUGAAAAAUCGAUCGAUCGUUAUCAGCGCAGCAGUUUACUUCGACCGUUCGCCGUGUCCUGUAAUUUUCCCGCUGGAUUCGCACCGGCCGCAUGCCAUCUCCGUUGCUCAGCCAACAACGGAGCGUGUGGCUCUAUGGUCACGAGCAGGCUACAGCUGCCGUGUUGCGGCAUCAGCCACACAAGUUUGGAUGAUAUCGAACAGCAGCCACUCCUUCCCCAUCCAGAUGUCCGUGCACGUCCCUCCUGCUUUGGUUAUAGGAACCAGGGGGCGUGAACGAGAAGGGACGAGCACGGAGGUGGCAGCAAAACUUUCUUGCUCUGUAGCUCGUCUCCUCAGCUAGUAAGCCAUCAUGGCCCCCACCGCGAUGGCCGCCACCUCCGUCGCUCCAUUCCAGGGGCUCAAGUCCACCGCCGGACUCCCCGUCAGCCGCCGCUCCACCAGCUCCGGCUUCGGCAACGUCAGCAACGGCGGGAGGAUCAGGUGCAUGCAGGUAACAAUUGAUCGAUCUAGUCACUGGAAUUAUAUUCUAUCUUGCUGGUGUUCAAAUCUGAGCUGAAAGCAACUGGGUGUCGUUGUUCAGGUGUGGCCGAUUGGGGGCAAGAAGUUCGAGACCCUCUCCUACCUGCCGCCUCUCUCAACCGACGAUCUCCUGAAGCAGAUCGACUACCUGAUCCGGAAGAACUGGAUCCCUUGCCUCGAGUUCAGCAAGGUUGGGUUCGUCUACCGUGAGAACAACAGGUCUCCCGGUUACUACGACGGCCGUUACUGGACCAUGUGGAAGCUGCCCAUGUUCGGCUGCACCGAGGCAACCCAGG
RNAcentral lists this long non-coding RNA (49999 nucleotides) under Setaria italica (foxtail millet). RNAcentral's name for it is "long non-coding RNA (SITA_LNC002409)". Lineage: Eukaryota; Viridiplantae; Streptophyta; Magnoliopsida; Poales; Poaceae. The record is from RNAcentral.